This 45486-nucleotide long non-coding RNA is filed under the name Brachypodium distachyon (stiff brome). Its description in RNAcentral is "long non-coding RNA (BDIS_LNC001000)". Lineage: Eukaryota; Viridiplantae; Streptophyta; Magnoliopsida; Poales; Poaceae. The record is from RNAcentral.
GUGGUGCAGGUAGGGCUCCCGCUCCCGCAUGGCCUCCUCGGAGAAGUACUCCCCCUCGCGCACCAGCCGGUCGAGGUACGCCCGGCGCCGGUUGCGCACCCGCGCGGGGGACAGCGUGGCCCCCCCGGAGCGGAGGCGGCGGAGGUGCCAGGCGACCUCGUAGCCGUCGUCUUCGGCGCCAUGGCCGCCCUGGAGCGCGUCGAAGGAGGCGAGCUCGUCGGCGGAGAGCGCGGCGCCGUAGCGCUCGAGGAAGAGCGGCGCGUCGCGGGAGAGGAGGGAGAGGAGCGCCUCCUUGCGGCGCGGCGGGGAGGGGGAGGAGGAGAGGAAGGCGGUGGGGAAGUAGAGCCCGUCGACGGCGGCGAGCCGGGCGGCGAUGCGGUCCAUCGCCGCGGGCUCCAUGGUGGGGCAGUCGGUCGGUCGGCGCCGGAGGGGGUUUGGCCUAGGCGGUUCGGGGGGGUUGUUUGUUGGGCUCUGGAGCUUUUAGCGGGGCUGUGGCUUUGGUCGGUUCGUUUUUCUCGUGGGCCGUGGGCCGCACGCGGUGCUUUGGAUGAAAGAUAUCCAGCAAGGAGGCCCAAGCUGGUGAAAGAAAGAGAGAGAGUCAACGUGCGGUAGAAAAAAAAAAGAGAAUCAACGUUACUCCGUAAUCCUGUACAGUGUACAUUCUGCAAUUCAAUUCAAUGAUUUGGUUUAUCCUGUGCCGUUUUUCCCGUUAGUAAUAGGUCUUGCUCUUGAGGAGAAGCCUACAAUGUGAAAAGAGGAGUGUCUAAUUAGUGUUAAGUUACUUUUAAAUUUGCCAAGAAUCAUAAUUUGAGCCCAUUAGAUCUUCACAUCGACGUACGAAACCGCAGAACAAUAGUCGCCUUGUGUUCGAUGAGAUUUUGUACACUAAUCGCUUCUAGUGGAUUGAAAAAAAUCAAGCAUGGAGUCAACAAGGCGUGGCCCUGUUCAGGUUGCUAUGCACCAUACAUGUACGUGUAUAUGUCAAUGCUCUUGUUUUUUUUUAGCGAAAACAUACGGCCUUUAUUAAUCAAUCAACAAAGAAAUACAAGCAUCGUUCCAUGGCUGAGUGAGCCUGAGUGAGCCAGGUGAAACAGCCGUGCGACAAAGACAAGAAGCUCUUAACAAGACUAUGAGCAUCCAAGUUCGAAGAUCUACCCUCAUGAACAAAGGUGACAUCUAAAAAUUCUCUACUUCGGACAGCAACCUCCCGUAAAAUAGUACUAUAGCUGCACCGAUUACUUUCGAGGAGACCCUUUAUGACGGCUUGGGCAUCAGAAGCAACCCGAACCCGUUGGAUAUUUAAAUCCUUGGCCAAGGCCAGGGCUUCGCAGCAUGCAAGUGCUUCCAACGUUGGCAGAUCAGUUAUCCCGGGGUAGACACGAGCUGACAACCCCUGGUAGCGGCCCAACUUGUCACGGCAAACCGCCGCCACCACCCCUUUGUUCUGAUUCUUGGCAACACCUCCAUCAACGUUGAUCUUGUACAUACCCGCCGGCGGGGAGAGCCAGCGGGGUGCCGUAGGGGGCGGUCCAGCCCUAGCCUGAGCUGGUGUACUAGACUGAGUGAUCAUGGGACUCUGAAAAAUAGACUCGUGAAUUGCCUUCCUUCUCGCCGACCAGAUCGCCCAAAGGGUCAAUAGGAUUUGCGUGAAUUCCGCAUGAGACGUCGUGUCAAUAAGAUGAAACAACCACUCCCGGGCGUCAAGGCAAGAGGAAACACACAUAUACUCAACUAGCUGAUCAUCCGCCAAGGCCCAAACGCACUUCGCCAUUGUACCGUCCAGUAAAGAAUGCCUCCAGGAAUCAUUAGUCGCCCGGCAGAUUGCACACACUGCCGUGUCCUCCAUAUGGUGCUGCUUAAGGACAUCACCCGUGGGAAUCAAACUCUGUGCUAAUCUCCAAGCAAAUACACGCACUUUAGAAGGCACUUUGAUCUUCCACAACUGGGUCCAAGAUCUCUCAGAUUUCAGAGAACUCGACGAUGGCCGCUUCUCAAGCCAGUCCUCACGGACUUUCUUCGUCGAUACUAGCAAACGAUAACAAGAACAGACACUAAAUAUCCUAGAUUUCUCGAAAUGCCAUGCCCAAAAAUCACCAUAAUUCAUCGUGCUCAGUGGAAUCGCGAGAAUAGCCUGCGCAUCCAUCGGCAGAAAUAGCCUCCGCACUAAAUUGAUGUCCCAUUCAUGCACAGUAGGAUUAAUCAACUCCGAUACCUUCACCGGCGAGUCAGACCUUGCAGCCGUAUAGGGAAGACGCCUCUCAUCACGUGGUAUCCAACCAUCAUACCAAAUUGAAGUCGUUUUACCAUCUCCAAUACGCCUGACAAUGCCCAGCUUCAAAACAUCCCAUCCCUCGAUUACAGCCCGCCAGAUCUAAGAUGGCCGUUGUCCCAAGCUAGCCGAAAUCAGAGAGCCCCGAGGAAAGUAGACAGCUCGAAGAAUUCUUGCGCUCAAAGUGGACGGUUGAGCCAGCACCCGCCAAGCUUGUCGCGCAAGCAAAGAGAGGUUAAACAACUCGAUAUCGCGAAAGCCAAGUCCCCCCAUAUACUUUGGCAUGGUCAUGGUGUCCCAUGACACCCAAUGAGGCUUGCGCUUGCCCUGCUUACUUCCCCACCAGAAACUUCGGAUCAUGAAAUUAAUCUUGAGACAUAAACCUCUCGGGAGCUUAAAGCAAGCCAUUGAAUAAGUAGGAACCGCCUGUGCAACAGAUUUAAUCAAGACUUCCUUCCCCCCCGGCAGCGAGCACUUGCUCCAUCCAUCCCUUUACUUUACCCCAAACCCGAUCCUUCAAAUAUUUGAAAGCCCCAUUUUUAGAGUUCCCUACAUCAGUUGGCAUACCAAGAUAUUUAGCAUUUAGAGAUUCAUUAGGCACUUGUAGCAACUCCAUCAUCGCAUGCCUCGUAUCUGCUGGGCAACCCUUACUAAAAUGGAUUGAGCUCUUCUGCCGGUUGAUACGCUGCCCCGAUGCAUUACAAUAAAUAUCCAGAACCUCUGUGAUAGCCUCUGCCCCUGCCACAUUCGCUUUAGCAAAUAGCAAGCUGUCGUCUGCAAAUAAGAGAUGAUUGACCGGGGGAGCUGUGGGCGCCACAACAAUGCCCGACAAAUUUUCCGAAUUCCCCCUGCUCCUUAACAAGCAAGACAAACCUUCAGCUGCUAACAAAAACAAAUAUGGUGAGAUUGGGUCACCCUGACGGAUCCCCCUGGUCGGGCGAAACACACUUGUUCGUUCACCAUUAAACAACACCGAGAAAGAUACAGAGGUCACCACCCUCAUAAUCGAAGAUACCAGCGAUCAGAAAAACCAAGCUUGGCCAUGAUAGCCCAUAAAUAUUCCCAUUCAACUCGGUCAUAGGCCUUCAUCAUGUCGAGCUUCAGAGCACAAUAUUGAGAUCCUCGGGCCCUUUCCUUCUUCAUAAAAUGUAGGCACUCGUACGCUGUUAUAAUAUUAUCUGUGAUAAGGCGCCCCGGAACAAAAGCCGAUUGCUCCUCAAAAAUAAUUUCUGGUAAAAUCUCCUUCAAACGAUUCGCUUGUACCUUGGACACAAGUUCCAAAACCACAUUACAUAAGCUAAUCGGACGAAAUUGAGAUAGAGAUGAUGCACCUGGGACCUCCAGAAUUAAAACAAUAAGGGUGUGAUUCAUAUCAUGCGGCUCUUCAACACCAUUCAAAAUAUUCAGUACCGCCUCCGUCACCUCUUCCCCACACAAAUCCCAAUGUCGCUGAAAAAAUGUGCCGGGAAGCCGUCAGAGCCCGGCGCCUUCGUCGGGUACAUUUGGAACAGCGCCGUUUUGACCUCGUCCGCCUGAUACGGGCGAUCUAGGCGCUCGGCCAUAGUAGCAGUAACCUUCCUGGGUACACAAUUCAGCACACGCUCCAUGCCAGCAACCCCUUCCGAAGUAUAAAUAUUAUUAUAAAAAUUCUCCGUAUGCUCCGCCAUCUCUUGAAAAUCCUCGAUAAACACCCCGUCCAGGAGACAUAAACGCUCAAUAUGAUUUUUCUUCCUACGACCACUUGCCUUUUGAUGGAAAAAACGGGUAUCACUAUCUCCCUCCGCUAACCAUUGAACUCGAGAUCUUUGGCGCCACAUAAUCUCCUCCCGCUGGUUCCACCCCGUGAGCUUGUCAACAAUUGCAAUCUCCCCGCUAGAAGGUCCAGUAUGGCCUGGAAGGGCAUGGAGUCUCUCCAGUUCGGCCAGAAGCUCCCUCGUCUUUUUACGGACACUGCCGAAGAUCUCAUCAUUCCAAGCAAGCAAAAGAUCACCAAAAAAUUUUAAUUUACCAUUUAAUUCUCCCAUAAUGCGGCUCUAACCUGAUUCCUUCCACUUACUGGAGACAAAGGAAGCGAAACUUUCAUGUGUCUCCCACAUCUUCUCGUACCGGAAUCCCCGAGCCCUUCUCUCACGACUUCCCUGCGAAGGUUCAGUCGUCUUGAGAAGAAUCGGGCAAUGAUCUGACUUAGCGGCAGUGAGAUGGAAAAGAGUGGCAAAAGGGAACCUGGACCACCAUUCUGUGGAAGCUAGCGCCCGAUCCAGCUGAACCCUUGUAAAAGAACCUCCACGAACCCUCUUCUCAAAAGUCCAUGCAUUGCCAUUAAAACCAAGAUCACACAGGCCACACAGAUCCACAGCAUCACGAAAGCCUCUAAUCUGUUCAGAGCUACGUUCACCAACACCAAAGUGUUCAUCUUGAUGUAAAACUUCAUUGAAAUCACCAAUGCAUACCCAUGGCAGACUGGACUCACUCCUAAGGAAACGAAGCAAGUCCCAAGUCUUGUGUCUCUCACGGACAGAAGCUUUCCCAUAAAUGCAAGUGAGACGCCAUGGCUCGUCAUCCCCUCUGCGAACAAUAACAUCAAUAUGAUACUGCGAAUGGUGAAUUAACUCCAUUGAAAAAUCAUUGUUCCAAUACAAAGCUAGACCUCCACUCUGACCAUUACUACUAACAGCAAGACUACUACUAAAACCCAAAGUAAAAGCAAGAUUAUUAGCCCUCGCGCUUGUCACUUGUGUUUCCUGCAGACAGAGCACCGAAGGGGCAAAACAACGCACCAAAGUGCGUAGCUCGCGAACUGUCGCGUUGUUGCCAAUCCCACGACAGUUCCAACUCAAAAUACUCAUUGCUCCCGACGGUCCCCCUCCACAGAGGCUGCCGAUCCAUCAAUACUAGAUUGCGCCUUUGAGGGAGGCGAUCCCUGUCGUAUCUUCUUGUUUGCUUUAGGCUUCACAUAAUGUGGCGGUGGAGGUGGCACAUCCUGAACCCCCUUAGUUUCAGACGAAGCUGGUAUCUCCACAGACAUGGUAUUAUCUGGGUUUCUCGUCUCGUCGGCAUCCACUCCCAUAUCAAGCUUCUUACGUGCGGACUCAGAACCAACUGGCUCAACUGGCAUGUCAGUCUUGGCGGGGCUCGACGCAGUGUCCGUCAAGUCUUCCUCCUUGUCAAGAUCAGCAUCAUCUAACGACCUUUUCUUAGCACCCAUGCCUCUGCCUCUGCCUCCCUGGCUGCGGCCACCACCCCGCCGGCCGAAGAAAGGCGCUCUGGCCAAAAAAGACAAGCUCGUGGGUGCAGCCCGUCGCUUGGCCAGCAUCCACUUGCCAUAUUGCACCGCGCUCUCGUCAUUUAUCCCAGUGCCACACUCAUCCCGGGUGUGGCCAAGAAGACCACAUAUUUCACAGAACAUGCCCAUCUUUUCAUACUUGAUGUCAAGUAGCAUCCGCUCUUUACCAAUUGCCAGCGGCACCACCCGGAUCAGCGGAUUGCCAACAUCAAUGCUUGCACGAACACGCACAUAAUCUCCUUCAUAUGCCUUUAUUGGGUUCAGCUCGACGCUUUGCAUGCGCCCGAUCCUGCGGGCAAGUUGGUCCACCAACGCUAGGAUGCGGUAGAGUUCCGGGAUCUUGUGGAUCUGCACCCAAACCGCGGUUCGAUUCAAGGGAAUCGAAGACAAAUCUGCGUUGCCGUCGUAAUCUUCUAGCACCACCACCAUCCUGCGGAAGAGCCACGGGCCCUGCUGUGUCACUUUCUUCCAAUCCCCAAGGCAGAAGAGCUUGAACAAGAAGAGAUUAUCAUUAACCUCCUGAGGCUCGAAAUCCAUAGCAAGUCCCCAGAUGAAUCUCAUGGUAUCGUAAAACGCAGUCGCAGUGAAAGGUCUCAUGGUGUUCACCCUCGCCAGAACUAGCCAUUGGGGCUCUUUCUCUAACUUCUCAAUCACCUCCACGCCGAUCUGCACUUCGUCAAGCUCAGCAUCCCUUAGAACCAGGUUGUUCAUGGCGCUUGCCAGAGCCGCCCCAUCCUUGUCUUUCCCUGACGAGGAAGCAGAAGAAGCCAUCGAAAAAAAGUUCACCGAAUAGUAUCGAUCCACCCGAAAUUCUAGUUCCACCUGCUAGUCGAUUCCAAGGCCGGGCAGACGAACAAGUCGUCCCCUUUAUCAGCCCAAGAACAACUGCAAGCAAUCCCCAAGAGAAUUGGAGAAGAAAGUAGAAGCUGAAUCGACACCGGAGGUGAAGCCGCCGGCGAAGUAGGAAACCCUAGUUGCCUAGGUUAGAAGUCGCCGAGAUCUCCCUAGGCCAGUUGGAGCUAGAUGAACCAAGUCAGAACCAUCACUGCUACGAAACGGUUUAUAUGCAACGGCACAUCAGUAACGGGUCCGGCGCGACCGUUACUGAUGAACAACAUCAGUGUCGGUCGCGGCCGCGACCGUUACUGAUGAACACAACGGGCUCUGCCCGUCCCCGCCCAGCCAUACAUCAGUGGCGGUCGCGCGAGGCGACCGCCACUGAUGAACCAUUAUAGCUCGCGAGUUACAUCAGUGGCGGUCGGCUAAGAGGCGAGAGCAGGCAUCUAUCGUGUCUCAAGAGAUGUCGCGAGAAUAUGCAGUGCAAGCCGUCCAUCAAUUGGUGUCGGCACUGGCCAAAGACCACCCCGCCCUUGACGCCAUACUCAGGGGAGGAGUGUAAGGUUUGAGGAACCUCCUUCCUCCUCUUCCCCGGGGAAGAGCACCCCGCUGAAGAGCAGCGCCGCCUCCGACACACGUAUGGAGGACGAAGACACCUACACCCCAGGUUACAGCCCGGCUCCUAGCAUGAACAACCCCCUCCCUAGCCAACCUUCCCCAAGCGAGGGCAUCCGGGAUAACGAUCCGGGUCCGAGCGACAACAUCUUUGUAAGCAAUCUUUUCAAACUCUUUUUCACUCCUUACCUUCAUGAAUAAAGAUCUUACACACAUAUGCCUUCUUCUUGUUACGCGCAGGCACCAGUGAAGUGUCGUAUCCACGUUGACAAGCCUGGGAAGCCUGUAGGUGCCAUUGGCCGCCUGAUGCCCAGACAAUCACCGCCACUGGUGCACGGCAUUCUCAUGAACGACGCACAAGUGAGUGUGAUGGUGGACUCCGUCGUCGAGGAGCAUCGGGAUUAUGCUAUCCCGCUACCUCCGGAGGAAGGCGUGGAUAUCCUAGGCGGUUGUCCAAACUACUGCAUUAUGUGGCCGAGGAGCUUGGUAUCUUUCUACAACCAGCGCCGGCCCUCUAUGACUCUAUCUCUCUCCGCCCACAAAGGUACUUCUCAUUCGCCGCUCGGCUUUUCCCCUAGGAUACUUCCUCCUGUCGAUGUCGGCGGAGAUGAAGAGAGGGCAAUGUCGAUGCCUGCACAGCUCAAAGAUAGUCAGACCACAGGGUCGGCACAGGCUAGAAGCGUCCCUCCCACCUUCUCUCUCUUGGGUACCGCUGAGUCCAUGGGUGGCCGCAAGAUCGAUGACAAGUACAAGGCAGAGGAGCAGAAGGCAUGGGACAGUAAGAGGAAGCAUAAAAAGAGGGGGCGCGGCGGCAAGACCAUCAAGGAGUGCUCCAAUGUCACUCAAGAUGAGAUGCACCAUGUGCCUGACAUAACUGGAGUCUGGGAUGACAAUAGGCCUGACAUUCUCAUCAAGAACCCAUAUCAAGACCAGAGAUUCGAAGACGGAUUCUAUUUCGUGGCUAGGGAGUUCGACCGGGUGCUUCUUUACUAUCCUUGAAGACCGAUGGUCACCGAAGAUUCCCUGCGUGUCGUGUCCAGAGAGAUGCAAGAGCUUCAUCAGUUCUACAUGCAAGCAUCAGCUGGUUCUCAACAGCAUGCCCAACAGAUCAAUGUUAGAAUCCCAAAAGACUAUGGAUUCUUUGACCAAGAAAUCGGGAAGAUUCAGGAACGUCCUAUCACCUUUGGUGUGGAGUUCAACGAACUGUUCCACCUCUUCAACCGCCAAAAGCUUGAUAUCAACCUCUUAAGGCUGUGGUCUGUCUACCAAAUAAGAGAACUGCGGCGAUUGGAGGUAAAAAAAAGUAGCCAUUCUAGACCCCGCGAUGUUCAACUACGGUGACAUCGGUCUUGAGCCAGAAAAAGAUGCCUCAAGAACCAUGACAUCUAAAUACUUGGUGGCAUGUCUCGAGAAAUACGCGGACCACGACUUCAUCCUCUUCUUCCUUAAUUUGGAGUAAGUUCAAUUUUAUAUAUGGAACCGUUUGUUUUUUCUAAUUCAGUCUUUCUUAUACACCCUUAGAUACUAAAGUUUGUUUCUUUUGAAAACAGAGACCAUUGCGUAACACUACUCAUUUGUUUGCCUUGGUCCGCAGUGUACUACUUCGAUUCACUACUUGCGAAGAAGUGUGUUCGAGGUAGGUUCUGAAAACCCAUCAAAUCACUCAUUAACAUUGCCUGGAAAGUGGCGACCAAGGGAAAACUAGCUGGUAAAGGCUAUAAAGACGAGCCUCACCACAACCACAGGUUCCCUUGCCAGUAACAGCCGUCCGACAGUGUGUUCUGUGGCUACUACUGCUGUCACAUUCUUAUGGAGAAUGCCAGCAUGUUCAAACCUGAGUGGAAGGGGUCAGUCGCGGCGAUGGAAGAUUACUGGCUGCCCCGAAUGACAAUGGGACACCGACCUAAAUGGGUCAUCUAUAACAUUCAAACGUAGUUCGCUCAUCUCAUAAAAAAUGAGGUCAUCAAGCCUAGUGGGGACUUCUUCGAACGCGUGGAACAAGUCAUGUUUAGGGUUCACCCACGACAAUAGAUUCAAGCUUGAAAUGAGAUACAUUUGUAUUCUUUAUAUGCUUUAAAUGAUGCGGCUUAUAUACAUUUGUAUGUUUUAAAUGAUGUGAUGUAAUGUGCUGUGAUGUGAUGCGGGUUUAUAUGUUUUUUUCUGUGAUGAGAUACAUUUUUCUGUGCUGUAUAUAUUAUUCUGUGUAUUUUCUGUAUAUUUUCUGUGGUUUUAAUUAUUUUUUAAAAUACCGAAAAUGUAUCAGUGUCGGUCGCUCGAUCAACAUUGAUGUGGAAACGCGACCGUUACUGAUGAUAUAUGCAUCAGUAACGGUCGGGUAGGAACGACCGCCACUGAUGUAUAUGUACAUCAGUAACGGUCGUUGCGACCGUUACUGAUGAUGGAUAUCAUCAGUAACACGAAGUUAGUAACGACGGUCCCGACCGUUACUGACGGUGUUUUUCGACCGUUACUGAUAAUCAUUUCUGUAUGCACGUCAAUGCUCUUGGAAUCCUGAUUUAAAAUGACACGCUAAUGGGCUAAUGGCCAGACAAUUAAUUAGCCCAAGCUCACGUCAAUUACGUUAGCACAUGGAUUUGGAGCCUUGGACCCCGUUCCAUGUACAGAUGCCGCAUGCAUCUCUCAACAUGCGCAUCAGCUAGGAUAUGGAAGCCAAUAUCGUAUAUGCCUGGUUAUAUGCAUGCAUUCCGGCCAUGAAACAGGAAAGAAAGGAUCGUGUGGAUCGGGAGAUCGCUGGUUUCCAAAACGGAAUGGCGGUGCGCAGAUAUCUUGGAAAGUUUUCCAUCCGUGUAGCCUGACCGCUGGCCUAUAUAAGCUGGCCACGAAAGAUAAAUCGGGGAGGGGCACCUGCAGCCGGCCAGGCCGCCAGGCCCCGGGCAGCGAGGAGGAGGCGCCCCAGGCGGUGGCAAGAGCGGCCACGCCAAGGUGAGCGGCGGCCAUGGUCCUCCGACAUGCGUAGAAAAAAGAAGAAGCGCUCAAGCUGCCUGGGGCAUCGGCCAGAGGUAAAAAGAACACGUAUACUCUCAGGUUCAAAAUACAAGCACCAAAGAACAUCCACGUACAAGAGCAAGUAGCAGCUGGAGAGGCGCUGGAUCAAGCACAGCAAGCGUGGAUGGCGUCUUUUUCCAACGGUGAGGACCAUGGUUGAUCUCUCUUCUUCUCUCUCUUUUUCUCUAUACCGUGCAUCUUCGCAUGCGGCUGGUCACCUGGUCACGGCCAGCUUGCCGAGGCUGCCACCGUGCUUUUUGUCGGCCUGCUUCUGGAUCCUCGUCCAGAUGGUGGCCGUUGGGCCGAUGGGACUGCCAACGUGCAGCCCGCUGGCUUUGACGUUGGGAGAUCGCCAACACCUACGGCUGAAGAUGACGACGACGCGCGUCUAACGCUCGCUGUGACGGCAUGCAGAGGUGCCGUUGCUGCUUUGUGGCCCUAAUGGGCCGUGACAUCACCGAUGCCUGACCGCUUCGCUUGGCUGCGAGGUCGCCUCCUCAGGUGGCCCUUCGACCCCACGAGCUGCGACGCCGACGCCGACGCCGAGGCUACUAAUAGACAGUCUUCCGGCAUGUUCUUCAGCACACCUACGGGACUUGGUAAAUCCUUACUGCUGUGCAUCACCCUGUCUUGCUAUCAAACAACUCCUGCCGGUAGGACUUCGGUGGAUGCUCGACGGGGGUGCCCCUCCAUCAUCUCGAUGAUGCUACUGAGUCGUCUCGACAUCAAAGCCAAGCCCUACCAUGCGUAUUCAUCCAACUCUGACUACAUCAUCGACACGUCACUGUCUACUCCAACAUCUACACCAACAUUGUUCCCCAGCAUCGUCCAGGCGCCGACGAGGCGAGGCUUUACUCCACCGACUAGUCCUUCUCCGAUGAGGUAACCCGUUACUUGCUUGCACUAACGAGGUGCUAGCAAGUCAUCCCGUCCGACACCGGUAAGACGGACAUUCCUAGGCUUGCCACCGACAAGGCAAGGCCACCCAUCCUGUCUAAGCCAACGGGGCUUAGACACCAUCAUCAUCGGACAACGACAAAGCCGGAGGUCUACCGCUAAGCAUCGCCGGUGCAAUGGCGUACCGCUCCACCUCUCCACUUCACCUCCACAACACCACUAUCUACGUCAAGCACAUGGGGAAGACAAGAAUUGAAGACGGCAACCAUUGCAGCAGCUUAAUCAGAGGUGUCUUGCGGCUCGAACUGCGGGAGUAAUUGAGCGGGAACUUUACGAGGUCCCGUGAACUAAGACACCACAAUCGCCCAAGUCAUAUUGGCCGUGCUGGCAGGCCACGGAUCGCACUCCCUCAAGGAAAAUUAUAAUUUGUUUCUCUAAGAUUAAUAAAAUACAUAUUUUUCUAUAUUUUAUUUGUGUAUUUAGGUACAUUGUCACGCCCUCGUUUAAUUUUUCCACCCGCGCAUGAGAAAUACUUUUUCUUCUUAACUAUUUUUCGUGUCAAACACCUUGCUGUCAGCAAAUCGGCAGAACAAUCCCUCGGAUUUAACACAGGUACUACCUCCGUUUCAUAAUUCUCGUCUCAAAUUUGUUCAAAAAUAAAUGUAUCUAUAUGUAAAAAAUGCGAUACAUGUAAUAUUUCGACAAGAAUCGUCAUAGAAGGGAGCACGUGCCAGUAGAACGGAAUCACCGAUUAAACAAAGCUAACAGCAAGACCGGAUAUUGACAUUAUUCUGUACAGUGUACACUCUGUCUGAAAUCGACAACCUCCCCACUCCCAGCUCCCUCACUCAUCGCUCUUUACUCCGCUGAGCAACCAAGCAAAGCGACGCCAACGCCGCCGGCACGCCCGAGAUCCCUCCCCGCCGCUGUCUUCCUCCACUCACUCGCGCGCGGGGGAUCAGAGACUAGAGGCCGCGUACGGACGGGGUCGGCGCCGGCCGCCAUGGGGUCGGUGUCGCUGAAGCUGCCGGCGACCCGGCGCCGUCACGGGCGCGUGCUCGCCUGCCUCUGUUCCCCGGCGCCGCUCAACCUCCUCAUGCUCCUCUCCCUCGUCUCCACCAACCUCCUCGCCCUCCUCGCCUUCUUCUCCACCCCCGGCGUCCCCCCCACCACCCAAACCCCAUCCUCCUCCGACCUCUCCGCCCACGUCGCCGCCAUCGCGCGCGAGAUCGGCACCGGCGCCUCCUCCUCCUCCAGCACCCCCCUCCCGGCCGACCUGCCCCCGGAGCUUCUCCUCUUCCUCACCCCACACGCGCUCCCGCUCGGCCGCGACGCGCGCUCGGGGCUCACCCACAUGCCGGCCUCCGUCGGCUCCGUCUGCCUCAGAUCCCCUUCCGCUCUCUCCCUCCUCUCCCAAUUCAUGUCCUACGCGCCCCAUGCCGCCUGCCCCCUCAACGCCACCGCCGCCACCCUCCCCCGCCGUCUCGUCUCCAAGGGCUGCGAGCCGCUCCCCCGCCGCCGCUGCCUCACCCGCCGCCGCGCCCCCUCCUCCUCCUCCUCCACCUCCGGCCUCGACCCCCGCCGCUGGGUCACCCCCUCGCGGAGCAACAGCAACCCCCACGAGUUCCUCAUCGACGACGUCAUCAAACUAACCAAGAUCCGGAUCGGCCUCGACGUCUCCGUCUCCGGCGGCGCCGCCGACUUCGCGUCCCGGAUGAAGGAGCGCAACGGGGCCACCGUCGUCACCUCCGUGCUCGAGCCGGCGACGAGCGAGCUCGUGGCGGCCAGGGGCCUGUUCCCGCUGCUGCUGUCCCCGGCGCACCGGCUGCCCUUCUACGACGGGGUGUUCGACCUCGUGCACGCCGCCGGCGCCGCGGCCCUGGACGGCGCCGGCGCGCCCGCGAUGGGGCUGGCGGGGACGCCCGAGGCGCUCGAGUUCUUCUUGUUCGACGUUGACCGCGUGCUGCGCGUCGGCGGGCUGCUCUGGAUAGACAGCUACCCGUGCCAGAGCGACGAAAGGAGGCGGGUUGUCAUCAAGCUCAUUGACAGGUUUGGGUACAAGAAGCUCAAGUGGGUUGUCGGAGAGAAGCCCAGCGGCGGCGGUGGCGCAAAGGCGUCCGUCUACCUCUCCGCCGUGUUGCGGAAGCCGGCGAGGGUCUGAUGAUGAGAGCCUGGAACUGUAUGGAAGGAUUGAUUUGCUUGCUCCUGGCUCCCUUGAUCAUCGAAGGUACGAACGAAUGUACCUUCCAAUUGUUUGUAGUUCAAAGAAUUUUGAUGAGAGGAAUGUAGUGCAUUUUAGCUGCCACCGAUUAUUUUUAGACAAUGGAAGAAAGAAACAGGUGCUACGGAUUAGCUUGAUUCCGUUGGUUGUUCAGAGAUAGUAACUGCAAGCAAAAAUGUACAACCUCCUUUUCUACUUCUAUUUUGUACUACUAGGCUGCCAUAGAUGGGAAAAGAUGCUGUAGGAUUUGGUGCUCUUCUGUGCAGUUGCAAGGAGGCUGGCAAAUGUUGUGAUCUUGCUAAUUCAGGAUGAAAAGGAAGUUUUUUUUUCCUAGAAUACUGGAUGAAAAGGAAGUCAGAUGAUGCUCUUGGAGCUACUUGUUGAUCAAAUGGUCCCUCUGUCUGAAUCCUACCAUUGGUACCAGUCUGUUGUGGAGCUCCUUUCAGUGGUCUGUUCGAUUGAUAGGCUGCCAAAUGAUGUGAUCUUUCGUUUUGGGUGGAAUGGAAAAUUAAAUGACGCUCUUCUAGCUGCCUACAUUGAUGUGAGGACCUCCUUUUGAUCAAUUAAUCUCCAUCUUCAUCUAGCAUAGAAAAAACUGUAUAAGAAAAACACUCCAACAGUUGUUCCUCUGAUUUCUGCCAAAAUUACAGACAUCUUAUGGAUGAGGCUUGAUUAUUAACAAAUUUAUAAAGCAAAAAAUGUUCCAGCAUACUUAUGUGUCACACAGAAAAAAAAACUUCUUGUGUUUCCCCCCUUUGACAAUCUGGUCUAUACUUUCUACUUUUCUUGAGUGCUUCUAAAUAUUAUUUUCGUUUUUAAAAUUUUUGGGCUCCAAGAGCCGGAGCUCCAAACCACCGCGCGUCAAACAAGAUUUACUUUCUUACACUACUAUUUUACAGACAGAUACGAAACGAUUUCUUUAAUCUUACCAGUUAAUACAGACAUGUUUUCAGAAACGAUAAGAGUGUACUAUAUCCCUUGAAAGGGAAACAUAGUGUGCGAAUAAACGCAGUCGGACAAUUCAAGACAGAAAGAUUAGAGUAAACAUAGUGUGCGGACAAGAUUCACUUUCUUACUCUAUUUACAAACAGUUAAGAGGAAACAUCGCCAGCCAUAUUUUUGAAAGAUUACACUCCCUCACUCUAAUGACUAAGGACUUCAAUAAUACUCCAACACUGUAAUUUAGAGUAAUAGAUACUUUCACCGUUUCAUAAUUCUUGUCGAAAUCUUACAUAUACCUUUUAUCCAUAAUUACAUCCAUUUUUGGCAAAUUUGAGACAAGAAUUAUGAAAUUAAACUAACUCCAUAAUUUGUCAGGUCAUAGACAUAUAACAGGAAUUUGUCGGGUCGUAGACAUAUAACAGGUGUCAUCUAUAAACUAACUCUACAUGAUUUAUCAGCAUUAAUUACGACGUUGUAGAAAGAUCAACUCUUACUCGAUUGCCUGAUCUGACUAAGUCAAGACACUGUUUGCAAACACUUGCUUUUUUGGGUGUACAAACACUUAAGCUGCGGUGUAAAGAAAAUCAGUCAUGCAAAACAGCUAAGCUCAAAAUUAUAAACGACGAGCAAAAGAGUACACAUUGAAACUAAUGAAACGAGAGUACAUAAACAAUUCUCAGCUCUUCAUGCUAGACAGGACCAUUUCGAGGGGGGAAACAACCAUCCAUUUUGUCCGCAAGCAUAAGAUAUAAACUCCAAACAGCUAACAGUAUCAAGAGAACAAAAAAAGUUCUUAAGGUAGAUUUGCUCUAAGCAGCGGCACCCUUGCCCUUCUUCUUCUGAAGCUUCUUCAUGUAAAACUCCAGCUCCUUACCCUCAAGGAUGUAGCUGUAAUCAGGUAUCACAAGUUAAAACUUUGUAGCAGCCCAAAAUGAUACAUAACUAGCACAUUGAAUUAAAAUAAAGGUAUAACACAAAAAACAGGCAAAAACAAUACUUAAACCAGUUAGUGCAGGAGGACAACAAAAUACAGAGGCCAACCAUGAACAAAAUAUCAGCAAACUAAAAUAUUAAAUCACAUUACAUCAUAAAACAUAAUAAAUUACUAGCCAAUUUUACUUUCCGUCCAUUUUUAUACAGCAGUUUCAGUUACUCGUUGCAAGAACUUAUAAAUCAUAAAAUUAACUACAAAACUAUUUUUCAUGGCAUAAACUAUUUUUCUAUAUAUAUUAAAGUUUGAAUGCAUGCUAGGACUUAUUUACAUCAUCAAGAUAAGCAUCUCUUGAAGACAAAUGUAAACAUCUUUUUCACAGUCCAAUCUAAAACAUUAUCAAUAUAUAGAAUAGAAUAUAAGGCGUCCAAUAUUCUUACCCGUCAGCCCGUCCACACUGCCCAGGGCGGGACGAAAUGCAAGCCAACAACCUUCCGCUGCUAAAUUGUUCUUCAAUGUGGGGGUCUAGUGUGCGACCCUGUUGGCGUUUCUCCAGCUUCCUCUGGACAUUGUUGCUUUUCUUGGCUUCCUCUGCAGCCGCAGCAGCAGGAGCAGCAGCAUCACCAUCCUGCCAAUGUGUAUAACAAGAGUGAAGGAUCAACUGUUAUAUCCGACAGUCAAAGCAUAAGAAAACAUACUUCAAGGCAGUCAGUUUAUGAAAUUCCAAUAACAUGAAUCAACAAACUAGAUAGCAAGUAACACUAUGUGCAGUUAACACAUGCAUAUAUACAGCAAACAGAAGACACUUUAACAUGGAAAACAUAUCAGUAACAUUUUUUUACGCCCACCAUAAAUCAAAUAUAUAGUAAUUCACAAAGAAUAGGAAAAACACCCAAUGAACACUUUAAUCAAAUGGAUCCGCAACCCCAAGGUUAAAUCAGACAUUAAAAUAGAUGCUAACAAGUUCACAACCAAGUAAUUAUUACCAUCCAUUUAAAACUACAUAAAGUCCAUAAGCAAAAUGGGAUAGUGGUUGUUUUCAGAGACAUUUAAGUUGAGCAAUACACAUUUAAAAACACAAGAUUGUGGUAGUGGUAGAUAAACAAGAAAAUAGUAUGAUGUUCCUCAGCUAAGAUAUGAUGCAAAUAACAAACAUAUUACAAUGAUAAUAGGAGCAACACAAUAAACAGAAAGGAAUCUACCUCAGUAGCAUCCUUCUUGGUAGCAGCAGGAGUCUUCUUCUUCCUACCAAUAUCCACUCCAUAGUGAGUGAGGUACCACUGCUUGAAGGGGGCAGCAUCAACUUGCACAAUGGCAUUUUUCACAAGUGUCUGGGUCCUGACAAGCUCAUUGUUGGAAGAGUUGUAAACCACAUCGAGGAGACGAGUCUUGCGGGUCACAGCCUCACUUCCCCAGGAGUAGUUGCCAGUAUCCAAACGGAGAGCCCUCCACUUGACAUUGCCUCCACGGACACGCACCCUCCUCACUGUCUUGUUGCUUGACAGCUUGGUGUUAGCAGGCUGGCGACCGAGCUCAUACCUUCAGGGCAAAAGACAGUGUUAAACUAACACCUACAGAACGAAAGAAAUAACACAAUUAUGGCAGCAAUAGGCUGUGGUUCUACAGAUGUCUCCACAUACGUGUAUAUAAGGAUGUAACAUAUUUCAAUUUCCCUUAUAACACGCAUUGCUUACAGCAAGGUGCAAGGACCAUAAGGACCAAAAUCUACAACACCUACCGCAGUUAGCUUGGCGAGAAAAAGCAAAGUCAUGUGCCCUACACACCGAAACGCAGCUCAUCCUUCAUAUAAAACUUGUGUAUUACGCUAUCAUCAAACAGAAUGGUCAUCUCAAACAACAUCCGCAGCUAAACAACGGUACAGAAAUCUGUAACCAUACUAGAUUCACUUCUUGCAACGGAAGACCGAUUAUGCAAGAGGCUAUGGCUUCGCGUCCUAGCCUAAGCUUACUGAUGGGUGAAUCACGACUCACUUAAAUUUUACACACUAGCGAGAUCCAAAUCUCGUGUUUCAUACAUAGACCUACUACAACAUAUAUAGACAUCUUGAUCAAUCUUGGUGUUGGUAACAUAUAUAGAAAGAAAACAAGCAUCCAGUGGAAAAGAUCUGGAGGUUGGUUGGUCACUCACUUUCGCUUCUUCCUCCAGGCCUUCUGCUUGCCGCCAGUGGCGCGGCGCUUGUGCAUCGAGUCACGCGAGAUACCUGCGGCAUCGAACCAGCAAUCGCCAUUAGCGGGGGAGCACGAAGAGGGGGAGGAGGAUAAUAAUCAUGCGAGGUAACAGGGAGCUUACCCAUGGUGGCGGCGGCUUAGGGUUCCCUCCUCUCCUGUCCCUGCUUUGUGGCUGCGCCGCCGGUUGCUCUGCCUCGCAAAAGGUGCUGCCUCGCUAAGCGGUUGUGAUUUUAUAGGUGCCUCCACGGGCUUAGGGUUUAGACUUUAGAGCCCACGUGAUGCAUCAGGGUGUAAACGGGCCGUUCGUGAGGAGACGAAUCGGAGGGAAGGGCUGUUAUGUGCUUCACUCGGCCCACUAGGACUGCGAUUGCCACCCUUGAGGCCUUGAACCAAUUUGAGCCCAGCUUGUGGCCGUGGGAUGACCGGAUGAGGCACAAAUAUGGUUUGGGAUGUUGCUCAGUAGUCAGAACUGCUAUUGCCACCCUGUUCUUAAAAAAAAAAAAAGCAGCUAUUGCCAAUGCCACCCUUGCUCCCUUAUUAUUCACCAGCUUCAACGUAUGUUUCAUUUUCAAUAGCAAUACGCAAAUAAUCUUUCAGCUGUGUCCCCUCUUAGAGAUUUCUUAAUUUUAUUCAAACAAAUUACUACAUCCGAUACAUAAUAAGUGUCGGUGAUUUAGUACAAAGUUAGUACUAUGGAUCAGAGAGAGUACAAAGUUACUAUAUCCGAUCCAUAAUAAGCGUGAGGUUUGGGACUACCUAAGGAGAAACGGCAAGAAGCAAGUAUGAACUUCUGAACGGCGGGUUAUGUACAAAAUUAUUUUGGAACUUUAAACUAUCCAGAAACCAGAUGUGCCAAAUUUUUAUUUUGAGAAUACAUGUGCGCCAAUUACUGAGUACGGACUAUAUAGCAGGAGCAGCAUAAUAUUAUGAUUUAUGUGUUUUCCUGUACAUGCGAUGAUGCAAACUGUCUACCUAAAAAAAAUGAAGGGCAGGAUGACAGCAUCAGCAGCUUCCACAGACCUAUCUUGGUGAUUUUGUCAUAGAAGGAAUAUUGAAUAAUCCAUGUUUUUCCCUAGAUAGCACUACUGCCACCGUGUUUACUGUCAUGUAUGUUUUCGAAUUUUAACCCGACCAGUGGAUACCUGAUCGAGUACAUACAGAGUUCUUUUUUUGUAGAUGUACAGAUCGAUUACUGCAAUGGUCUUCUUUGUUUCUGCAAGCAGUGAAAUUUCUUCAGAGUGCUUUGCAGCAAUUGUUAUUUAUUCUAAAUAUGUUAAUUUAAAUUAUUUCUAUGCACUAAAACUUGUCCAUCUUUGACUACUGAUUUAUAAAAGAUUAUUGUCACUGCUCAAGUAAAAAAAAACAGUAUUACGUUAGAUUUUUCAUUAAAAAAAGUAUUAUGUUAGUUUUGUCAUUAAAAAACCUGUCUAUCUUUGAGUACUAGUAUAAUCUUCAUGGAUCAUUUUGGUCAAGAGGAGCCCACAUAGAACAUGAAAGAGCCAUAUUCAAACACAGAAUACCAACCAAACAAAGUCAAUUACCAACUCGCUUAACUUUUAUUUUUAGAAUAACUUAGAACCAAGAUCCUUCCUUGACUACAUUAAACCCUCAAGAACACUAGAGACUAGACUACGAGGCCGUCGAUGGCUCCGGCAUAGACCGAGCGAACAUCAACGUAGGUGAAGAAGCGCGCGAUCAAGGCCAGGAGCACGUCGGCGGUGAGCAGGCUAUCGGACCCGGCAUUGUGGGCGCGGCCCGCGGCCCUCUCCACGCCGAGCGCCCCGGCCACCUGCUCGAGCCCGCCCCUUAUCCCACAUGUCCUGGCAAUGUACUUGACGUCGAGCACCCACGGCCCAAACAGCCGGCCCACGAGCCCCUUGAACCCGUCGAGCGUCUCCGGCAGCCGGCGCCCGCGGCGGAGCACCUUGGCCAGGUACGCGAAGUCGUACGCCCCCGAGAAGGCCACCCACGACAGCCCCGGCAUGCGAGCGAAGCCCGAUCGGUUGAACUCGUCAGCGAAGGCCCGCGGGUCGAUCCCGUGGGCCUUGAGCCGGCCGAAGUCCAGCCCGUGGGCCUCGAGCAUGGCGAUGGAGGCCGGCGAGUGCGGGUCGCCGCGGGCCGGGUCGAAGCCGCGGAAGUUGAACUGCCAGACGACGGGGAGGGCCCGUCCCCCGGCGCCCACGAGGGCCAGGCCCAGCUGCAGCAGGUGGCGGAGCUCGUCGGCGUUGCGGCGGACGAGCGCGUAGCUCUCGUGGGCGGACCGCAGGUGGCGCGGCGUGGCUGGGUCGUCGUGGAUCGUGCCCGGGAACUCCGUGUCGAGACAGAUCACCGGGUAGUUGGGCAGCAGGGCGGCGAUUUGGGCCAGGGAUUCCCGGAGGUUGUGCUUCCAGACCUCCCGGAUCUCGAUCGUCGGGGAAGAUAAUGACGCCGCCGCCUGGAGCUGGAUCGCGGCGGUGAGCUUCUGCUGAUGGUGCUGGUGCUUUGCUGACGCGGGGAGAGGGAGCGGCUGGUGGUAGGCGGCCGGCGGCGGGUGCAUGUGGACGGGGAGGCGGAUUGGGGCGCGGCGGCGUUGGUGGAGAUCGGAGUCGAAGCGGGGGGAGUUCUGGUGGUGCGUGGACGGGCGGCGGAGGAGGAGAGGGCCGCCGUCGCCGGAGAAGGAAGGCAUGGCGGCGGAAAUUAAACGCGAUUUCUGCUAUAUCUUGUCGCUCGGCGGUGUUUGUUUUCUGGUCUCUCUCGCGAACGUCGGUGGGGAGAAGUGCUCGAGGCGUGCGGCAUUUAUAGACGAGAGAGGGCGGCCGGGUUUGGGGCGGUUCGAGUCGGAUUUGGAUCAGGACACGAACAUGACUCGGUCGGUCGGUCGGUGGGUGCUGCUGCGCGCUCGAGUCGGAGUCGGAUUCGAACCGCCGCGUACGUACGUCGAUCGUCCAAGGUUCUGCUGGCCUUUGGAUAGGGCCUGCAAAACUUAUUCGCGUUUCUUUCCUUUUCUUUUCCAAUAGGAGUAGAAAGCGGCCAUGUGAUUCACAUGAUCGAAACGGCAGUAAUAAUAGGAUAGGAAGAUAUGCAUCAGAAGCUUACUGAAAAUUAAGCCUCGCUGAUUAAUUACUGUAGGAAAUUUAUGGCUUUGUAACUAAAUAGACCAUACAAAAUCAAGCUCUCAUCUGUAGAUAAUAACAUAAACCAUCUUAAAGGCUAAUCCAAUGCAAAUGCAUGCAUAUAAAAUCUCCAUGAUACUUUCUGAAUGUUUUCUUCACCAGACAUAGCAAUUCAAGCAUAUGUAAGUUAGGGCGUGACUAACUAGGGAAGAAAAUGUCACUAAACAUGUACUACUAAUGAACUCGGUUAUAUAUAUAGAACCGCCCCAGAAGUUACAGCAAGUUCAUAAAUGACAAAUCUUCUCAAAUUCCUUCUGACGCAGUGCACAAUGCAGCUAAUAGCCGGCCUAGAUCACACAAGGAAAACAAAGAAUAUAACAGCUGCGGUAUCUCGCCAAAAAAUAUAACUUGUAUACAGUUGCCAAACUACUAAUAAAUGUAUCCUCACCAGACAUCAGUCGCUUGCGUUAUCAAUUGACGACGGUAAAUUGAUAUGACUGUUGAAUUUGAGAAAAACAGGUAUCAGAGUAGCCACAAGAAAUACAACCAGAACCUACGCAGGACGGACAAGGCGAUGUCCAGAACAAGAGAUAAAGAAAGAGAAGGAGAGCCUAGUUCCAGUUACUGCUCUUCAGUUGCAGCGUCAUUGGAUCCAUCGUCAGGGUUGACAAGCUUGUCUUGGGCAACAUCUUCAUGAACAUCUUGCAACAGGCUGAAAGGGAUUUUAGGUGGCAGCAUCAGCACUCCCAGCUGCUCGUCAGUGGGAAGACUGCAACAAUUGCUGGAGUUGCACCGAGGUGGAAGUUGCUUCUCAGAUUGGACUGAGCGAGUGCCUUGUGCUGUCACGGGUUCAGAUCUGAUCCCAUCUCCAGCUUGCUUGGUCCUGCGGCUUGCUCGACUCAUGUUAUGCAUCACACUUGGGUGGAAUUAGUCCUUUAUUUAUCAUGUCUGUAAACAAUAAUGAAAAGCGAUCGGUAGAACUUUGGGAAGCUUUCUUCUGUUGUAACUCAGCAAAAACUCUGUGUGCUUCACAGAGUUUUCCAGCCUUACCAAAUUCAGUUAUGACAUUUUCAACAGUCUGCGCAUUAGGCACUAUUUCUCUGUCCAUCAUCACAUGGAGCAACUUCUCAGUUUCCUGCAGCCUUCCACGUUUGCAGAAGCCACGAACCAACGUGCUGAACAAAGAAACAUGUGCAUAUCCCCGAUUGAACAUUUCCUCUGUUAGGAACAGAGCCUGUUCUAGGUCUGCAGCAUCUGAGCAACCCGUAGCAAGUACAUUAUAGACAAACGCAUCUGGAGCAAUUCCUCUAUCAAGCAUAUCUUUAUACAGAUCAAAAGCAUCAGUGAUAUCGCCGUUUUUGCAGUUUCCAUCUAUCAAAGCUGUGUACGUCACACAAUUUGGGAGUAAUCCCUUGGCUAAUAUGCUAUCAAAGACAUUACGAGCACGGGAAAUAUCACCAGACCUGCAAAAUCCAUCGAUUAGGGCAUUGUAGCAUACAAUCCCAGGCUCUAGUCCUUCUUUAGCCAUCUCAUCAAGAAGACCAACAGCUUUCUCCAUGUCAGCCAUCUUGCAAAGACCAGAUAUCAAUGAACUAUAUAUAUGCAAAUCAGGAACCAAUCCGUUCUUCUCAACCUCCGUUAGAACCAUAAAAGCCACUUCCAUGUUUUCAGACCUGGACAAAUUGCGAAUCACAAUUCCAUAGAUGUGGUUAUCUGGCUUAUCUCCACUGCCCAACAUAGACUGAAGAAUAGAGGACACCUUUUCAUGGUCAUUUGACUUGAAGUACCCUUCUAGGAGGUCGGUGUAGGUGUCAGCAUUUGGUUUUAGUCCACUGUUAAGCAUCUGCUGUAGCAACUGAUCAGCUUUUUCCAGAUUUCUGGUCUUACAAUAGCCAUGAAUGAGACCGCUGUAUGUAAAUUCAUCUGGCACUAAUCCUCUCUUCUGCACUUGCGCAUAGUACUCUUCAGCUUCCUCUAUCCUUCCCACAGUAGAUAGUCCCUUUAUAAGAGAAUUGUAGCAAAACAAAUCAGGGAGUACAUUCGCCUUGGUCAUGUUUUCAAGAGAUUCACAUGCCAAUGAGAUAUGACCUUCUUUGGAGUGCCCUAUGAUCAGAGGUGCAUACAUAAAAGCAUUUGGCUUGAGACCUUCUGAAAUCAUUUCCUCGAGGAGGUUGCCUGCUUCCUUUGAUUCACCGUUUUGGCAUAACCCAUUAAUCAUUAUGCCGUAAGUAUAUGCAUUAGGCAAAAUGCCACUAUUCCUCAUUUCAUUAAGAAGCUCAAAAGCACCGUCCUUGUCAUAAUGUUGAAAAUGCCCCUGCAUGAGAGGAUGGUAAGUAAAAGUAUCAGGCCUAUGACCAACUUUGAUCAUCUCGUUCAGUAGCUUAGAAGCCCUGCCCAGCUGCCCGAUCUUACAAAGGCCACGGAUGAGAUUGUCAUACAUGAUCUUGUUGGGCUGCACGCCAGCAGAUAUCAUCUCAUUUAAAAUGUCAAACGCCUCGGCUGCCUUGCCCUCCUUCAUAAACCCAUCAACCAGAGUCGCAUAAACAACAACAUUAGGCUUCAACCCGGAACAAGACAUCUCGUCCAAUAGCGCCUUAGCCUCUUUCAACCUACCCCCUUUGCACAGACCGUUCAUGAGCGCGCCGUAAGUAAAAGCAUCCGGAGACAGACCGUAGUCCACCAUCUCCUCCUUGAACCCAAACGCCUCUUCAACAGCACCAGACCUGCACAACCCGCUAAUCAUCACAUUGUAUGUCACUUCAUUCAUGGCACAGUCCCUCCGACGCAUUUCCUCAAACACCUUCUUGGCAGCAUCAAAAUCCCGCGCUUUGCAGUGCGCCUCGAGGAAAGUCGAGUACGUAUACACGUCCGGCGGGAUCCCCGCGCCCUCCAUGAAUCCUUUCAGCUUCCAGACCAGCUCCAUGGCGUCCGCUCGCAGAAGGUCCUUCAAGAGGCCGUUGCAGCAGCGCCGCGUAGGGGCCAAGCCGAGAUCUCCCAUCAUCAGGACGACCUGGGCUGCAGUACGGACGCUCCCGUUCUUCUUGUAAGUGUCCACGAGCACGUCGAGCACGGCCGUCGAGUGCGAGGGCGAGGGCGACGGCGAGCGGGCAUCAGAAUCCUGGAUCGCGCGUUGGAUGGAGGCGAGGACGAGGGGAGGGUGAGGGUGGGCGAGAAUCAUCUGGUGGAGUAGUCCAUUGGCCUGCGGAAAGUGGGAGGCGGCGCAGAGGGAUGCCGCGAGGCGGGCGAAGGCAUCGGCGGAGGGCGGCGCGAUGCGCGGGCGGGACCAGUAGAAGAAGUCGAGGAGGAGCUUGGGGUGGAGGCUGUGGCUGCGGCGGCAGAUGAGGCACGACACGGCGUCGGGGGAGAGGCGGGAAGGUAUGUCGGAGGCGGCGAUGGCGAGCUUCCAGUCGCCGGCGCAGCGCGAGAGGAGGGUGGCCACCUCUGCGGCCACAGCGUCGGGGUCCUCCGGGGUGGAGGAGGAGGAAGAAGAAGCAUUACUUGCGCUGGUUGUGAAGGGGGCGGGAGGCGGCGGGAUUGGGAGGAGGAGGCGCGCUGCGGCGGAAGCGGCCCGGCGGCGAGCGUGCGCGGCGGAGAGCAUAGGAUUUAGUGGGGAUCAGAGAGGGGGAGGGCUUCGUUGGUCAAAAGCCUCGAGAGCUUCAGACUUCGUAAAGAAUACUUGUAUUACUGAAUCAUAUCGUCUAGUUUGGUUACAACAACUUAAGGAUUCAUGGACAAGACGAGCAACGAGGAGGAGGAAGAACCAACACACGCUAUAAGCCACGCCUCGGCCGAAGCCGCCCUCAAGUCCGUUCCUAGCCAACCUCCUUGUUGCCGAGAUCUCUACAUUUAUAUUGCGGCUCGUGCUUUCAUACCAGGUCAUAUCCCAUAAAUGAUAUAGCCCACUGUGCAGUCCAGCCGGAAGGAUGAAGGUCGCUGACAAUCCUACCCCCUUGAAAUUCGGUUUGUUCUCAAGGCGACGUCCUGUCAAGCCGCCCCGGGUCUAAGGCCUUUGUAUUGCAGCGAAGUAAGGAAUUGCAGAUGCUGUUCUUGACGAGUUUCAUCUUCCAGUAUUGUAGAGAGUGGCUGCCUAGACUUGCUGUCACCAGAACACAAGUUGAGGGACUAUGCAAUCUUCCACUGGAUAAUCUCAAAGUCACACUUAAUAACAGGUGCUUGUGUCAGCAGCUUUUGUUCAUCGGGCCCAAGCAUCAUCGGUGUGUCACCAGUAGCUCUCACCAAAGUUACAUCAUAUGGAAACAACUCUCACGAAGGCCCGAGCUUCGAUUGCACAUAGGAAUAGGCUUCAGUUCUACUGCUCGGCAGAAAAAGUAGUGGAAGAAGAAAUAACCAUGCAAUCUCCCAUUGCAUAAGUUAUGAACCAUAUCAAAUAAUGUGACCAGCGAGGUUGCAGCUAACAAAGGUGUGCAAGAAACCGUCAAGUUCUAGCUCCAUCUCAAAAGAGUGCCAACUAUAACCAAGUUCAGAACCACUUUGAAUAGCUUGGUCCACACUGGAUAUUGCACCAAUCCAUGAGCUCAUUUCUGUGGAAUUUUCAAUAAUCUGAACCUUUGUGAAAUGUGACCAUACUAUCAGCAUUCCAAUAAGCAAAACACCCAGCAUGAUAUGAUGAGCCUUGAGGAUGCCACAAGUGAAAUUUUCAUGUAGUUGGGUUGGUUGUAUGGACAAGUAUAGAAUAGUAGCAAACUGAAAUUUCAGGCCAUUUGAUGCUGACUGUACUGAUACGCAGCAAACAAGGACUAGGAAAAACAGAGCUGAAGUCAAUUCCUCCCUUGAGUCAAGUAGCUUAUACCUGCUGAUGAGACUCUCACCACUUCCCAAAUCUGAAUAUGCACAAGACAGUGCCACUACCAACCAUGCAAUUUCCCACGAAACAUAUAGAAAACCAAAAUGUGCAGCACCUGUUGUCAGUAGCCCAGAGAGUCCAUGGGGUUGUGGAAAUAAACAACACACACUUCUGAUGUGAUGUCCUCAGAUACGAAGUUAUGAUGGCUUCCUGUUCAAUUGGCAUCAUGUAAAUCAAUGAGCACAUCUCAAAGGGCCACUGCUCCAGUAUGUUCCUUGCUUCACAUAACUGAAUGUAAUGCAUAUUAGUGAGUACCCUUGUCUUGGUUGAGGCAAAGCCAUGACAAUUGCUGCAGACAGCUGAAUACUCCAAUGAAAAGAACCAUGCGAUUGCCCACUAAAAAUCUUCACAGGCAACUAAUCCAAGAUAUUGCUCAGGUAUGUGCUUGAGCCGAACCCACCUAAUUGAAUCCAACUGAACAAAACAUUGCAAUUGUUGGUCACAGAAAUAUAACUCCCAAGCAGAGCACGGCUUUUGUUUGAAUAUAGCAGUCACUGAAUUCUGCAACGUGUUAACCGUCAGGAACACAGAACAAUUGGAAUAGUGAAUUUUGUACUUAUGCUCAACAAGUGCUAGCUAUCCCGGGUCCCAUGAUGAUCCCAAGCAUUCAUCACAAAAUAAUAAUGAUGAUGACUCUCUGCUAACAGUGCCAAUUAUAGCAAACAAUCGAGUUCUAUUUCCAUGCAGGCAACCACCCAGAUUCCAAGGAAACAAGGACUGAUUAGAAUCAAAUAUCAUACCAUCCAGUGAUGAACUUGCAACAGCUUGUUGCUGCGGACUUUGAAGUGGUCGCCACGGUUGUACUUGAUACACAUUGCCAAAGAAGCAACCAAGUGACGGCCCUGGAGGCUUCAGCUGCAAGCCAUCAUUAAUUUCAGAGUCUGGUGCCACACACAUGGAGAGUACUCGAGAGAUCGACAAGUCCACCACUGGAGUUGCCAUGGUCGCUAUGCAGUUUGUUCUGGCGGUUGGUGAAAAUAGGAUCAACUGCGAGACCAAGUUGUCCUUGUCCGAAGCCCUGAUAUAGGAUGCGGCGACAGGGGAGCCUCCCUUAUGCACCACACAUACAGCCAAGCAGUCACUACUACAAAAACGGUUAUCAGUAACGGUCAAAAAAGCAUAUCAGUAACUGGCAGGCCGCCCGUCACUAACUUCCUGUCACUGAUGUGUUUAGCAUUAGUGACGGGCGGCCUGCCCGUUAGCGAUGUAUAACACAUUAGUGGCGGGCAAAACAUGACCGACAUUGAUGUUGUUUUUGGGAAAAUAAAAAAAAUAUAGAAAUGGCCCUCCCGGCCCUCACGUUCCAUGAUCGCAAAUCAUAUAUCGAAUCCCUAAUCCUCACGCCGGCGGCCGAAUACCAUUCCAUUCAAUUAAAAAAAUAGGCCACAUGCCUCAUUCCUCAAAUCACAAAUCAAACAAAUUAAUCAAAUGUUACAACAAAUCGAACUAAUCGCCACCGGUGCUCUUCCAUGCGUCGCCGCCGGUGCUCCAGGCCGUCCGUGCUGCUGCUCCUCCACAUGCGGGGGUGAACGACGGCGCCGGAGCCGGUGCCGACGAGGGAAAGGGCCUGCAGUAGAGUGAGAGAAAGGGACCUUAUGAGCGAGAGAGAGAGAUCCGAGAUGAGAUAGAGGGAGAGAAAGGGGCCUUAUGAGAGAGAGAGAUCCGAGAGAAGAGAUAGAGGGAAAGACGAACCGUGAUGUGAGAAGGGAGGGUUCGGGCGGCUCGACGGGGCGCAUGCAACAGGCGGCCAUCGGCGGUUAAGGCCGGAUCCGGCCGGUGCUGGGCCGAGGGACGCCGGAUCCGACCGCUGGGCGCUGGCGGUUGGAGGCGGGGCAUGGAUCCGACGGCGCCGGUGAAGGCCUCCAAGCACCACCGUUCCAUGGUCCUUCGGGGCCGUUGCUGCAGGAGCUUGACGGUGGGGGACGCGCGCGGGAGGAGAGGAGAGGCCAGAUCCACGACGGGGAGGUGGAGAUCGAGUGGGGGAGGCGCUCGGGCCUCGGGGAGGGGAGGCGCUCGGUGGAAGAGCAGAAGAGAGGGAGAGGAGAAAAGAGGGCUCGGUGGAGGGAGAAGGGCAGGAAGAGAGAAAGGGAGAGGGUGGCGGCUGGGAGGUGGAGAAAUAAGGUGGGGGUUAGGGUUAGUUGCUUUUUAUAGCAAUGUGGUGAGUUGGGCACUUGGGCAGUUGGGCCUGAAUAUGGAUUGGCCCAGAGCAGCAUCAGUGGCGGGCCUGGCCAAAAGAACCGCCACUGAUGGACUAAAUAUGAUUUUUUUGCAUUUUGAAAAAUAAAAUAAAAUAAAGCCAAACAUUUGUAAACAUCUUUCACAAUAUUGUUCAACUUUGUUUGGAAAUUGGAUAGGUAUCAUUUGGAGCCAUAUUAAGUAUACUUGCUUCACAAAAUAUCCCAUUUUUUGCAUUUGGAAAAUGAAAAAUCAUUUUUUAUAACCAAAAAAUUGUAAACCUCUUUGGAAAUAUUGUUUGUCGUGAAAAGAAUCACAUUUGUGCAAAAGCCGGGUACAUUAUCAUGAACUAUGGCAUAGAAAUGGACAAAACUUUGAUCAUUUGGCUUAAAAACCUAAAGUUCAACUAUGGGAAAUAACAAGAUCAUACUACAUAGGUCAUUUUUCAAAUGUUACCAUCUGUUGUUAUUUUUCCAUUAUGUUAAUCAAUAAAAAAUAAGACUUCAGAAAAAAGAAUCACAUUUUUCUGAUUUUUUCAAUCUUCAAAUGUUUCCAGGGCUCAUCAGUGGCGAGCCUAGAUUUCAGGCCCGCCACUGAUGUGUGUUUUUGUGAAUUUUGUUAUUUUUCACAUCGAACCAUUAGUCACGGGCCUCCCGCACCCGUUACUGAUGAGUGGUCAUGAGUGACGGGCUCUGCGGGCCCGUUACUGAUGAGUGGUCAUCAAUGACGGGCAUACCACACCCGUCACUGAUAAGGGGUCAUCAGUGACGGGUGAGCACGCGACCGUCACUGAUGACCACUCAUUAAUGACGGGUGUGGUAUGGCCGUUACUGAUGAUAGUCAUCAGUGACGGACGCAAAAGGUCCGUCACUGAUGACUCGUCACAUAUACACUGUUUUGUUGUAGUGAGUGAGCCGGUGUUAUGAGAUUGAAGUUGGUGGUGCCUAUGUUGUGGCUGGCAUCGAGUACAGUGGAGGGCGCCACAGAGGUGACAGAGCUGGGGUCAUCUUCGUCGACCUCGUGCAUCACGGCCACUGUGAGAUCGGCAGCCAUCGACGUUGCGUUGUACGGUGGUGCGCGGACCAAGGAGUUGGAGGCCGCGAAGUGGACAUCGUCCUCACGGGCCGUCGUGGUGGCCGCUGUUGGAGUAGUCACCAUCGCCGCUGAGUCCGCCACAGCUACAAGGACGAGAGUCAGUGAAGUUGUUGGGGGAAGAUGCCGUGCCUCCAGGGCAUAUCGUCGAGCAGAUGGUGGGCGACAUGACAAUGAGGUCAUUGCCCGAUGUGGAUGUAGCAGAAGUCUUGUCCGGCGUGGAGAUGUCCGUGAGCAUGGCUGCCGAUGUGAGAUCAUCGUCACCCUCGCUGACCACGAGCACAACCGGGACGGUGGCGGACGCCUCUAGAGAGGGCUUGGAGGAAGCCGGCGUUGCCGUAGGAGACGCUGCAAUGGCUUUAGUUGCCGAUGUGGCCGAUGGCUCCACGUCCCACAAAGCUCGCCAGAUUCUCAAGGAGCAGCAACCUUCGUAGAUGCACUGGCCAUUCCACUCCUUUCGUGCUUGUGCCGCUGCUUGUCGGGAACGGAAGAGGAUUUGGGCAGCCACCGAGGUGACUCCCUUGGAUGUGAGGGGCGGAUAAACACCCAUCUGCUCCACACCAUAUGGAUCGAAGAUGUCAUGGAACAAUUCUUCACUGAUUAUGUAAAUAGCAUAGUCAACAACAAGCGCGACACCAUGAUCUAGAAGCGCUGGCUGGCUGGACAUUCUCACGAACAGAUGGUGGAUGGGGAGAAAAAUGGAAAGAGAAUUUGUGGAUUUUUGGUGGGGAUCGACUGGGAAGGGUGAUGGUUGGAUCUGAUACCAGAUGUAAGGAACCUAGUACUUGUAUUACUGAAUCAUCAUCUAGUUUGGUUACAACUCAAGGAUUCAUGGAGAAGAUGAGGAACACGAGGAGGAAGAAGAAGCAACACACGCCCUAAGCCACGCCUCGGCCGAAGCCUCGAGUCCGUUCCUAGCCAACCUCCUUGUUGCCGAGAUCCCUGUAUUUGUAUUGUGGCUCGUGCUUUGAUACCAGGCCCUAGACCAUGAACGAUAUGGCCCACUGUGCAGCCCAGCCGGAAGGAUGAAGGUCGCUGACAGACUUUAGUCGAACAAGCCCACGAGCUAACGGGUCUUCUUUAGCCCGCCUUCCGCUGAAGGACUUUUCAGUUAGGCCAACCCAAUAGGAAUGUACUACUCCACGACAUUCCAAUAGAUGAUGUCAUGACCUAAAAAAAACCUAUAGAUGAUGUCAGUGAUUUAUAUUUUCUUCUUGAAGUUUUUAUUAUUUUUUCAUUAGAGACAUUUCUGCUUUGUUGUUUUAUACGACGAUCAAUUUUCUUUUCAUGUUGACUGAGAUUUGCAACCAGAAAAAAGAACACUCCCUCUGAUCCUAAAUUGUUAUCGAAAUAUUAUAUGUAUCUAGACGUUUUUUAAGAAUAGAUAUAUUCAUAUUUGGACAAAUUUGAGUCAAAAAAUUUAAGAUAAGAGGCAGUGCCACAUAACCAAGGGCAUGGACGUUCCGAGGUGUGCACAACCGCAUUCGUUCCGUGUAAAAGUACGACACAAAGUAAGUAUUGUGGCCAGGAAAAGAAUACCAUUGAAGAAACAUGACAUUUUCACAAAUUCAUUAGGAAGAUUGUGUACAGGGAUACAACAACGACCACUCACACAGUACAGUGACACACAUAGUGCAAUUUAAAGCGUAGGCAGUAACAAAGGGAAACGAUACAAGAAACAAAGAGCCGACGGACGGACGGACGGACCGAUGAUGCGCACCUACGACGGGAGUGAUCGGCGAUGGCAUCGAUCGUCUUAAAUUUGUUUCCAACUCUCACAAACCACUCAAUCUAGUGUAUGGGGAAAUAAUCAAAGGAGGAAAUUUAGCUGCAGGGAAAGAGGAUCGGUUAGAUCUGCCUGUAUCUGCAUGCCCCUACUUCUUCUUCCCCAAAAGGUUCUUCAGGGCAUCGUCGGCGAUGUGGUUAUCAGCGACGUCCACAUCGACGUCGAUAGGGGCUUUGACUGAGGUGUCUACAACGUCGGCGUUGACAAGGGCGCCGGCGGAGUCGACCACCGACCAGGAGGCCGCCACCAGCAGCAUCACCAGCACUGCACCCAUCAUCAUCGUCGCCGGCUUCGUCGCUGCACCUGCACGGGCCAUCGAUGGAUCGAGCAACCCGUACUAGCUCAAUUGGCUAGCUGAUCUCGAUCGAUCAAUGCAAGACGUAUGCGCACGAUCACUCAACUAUCAGGUGCUGCUGGAUCAGUUUGUAUGUGUGAUGCUCUUGCUCUCGCUCUGCCCUUUUUACAGGGCCAUGGACAUGGACAUCCGCCCAAGUAAUUAAUUACUCCCUCCGAUUCUAAAUUGUUGUCGAAAUAUUACAUAUAUUUAUACGCUUUUUAAGAAUAGAUACAUCUAUAUUUGGACAAAUUUGACUCAAGAAUUUAGAAUCAGAGGCAAUGGUCUUUUUCAUAAAAAAUGACCCACACUUUUGUUCCGAUGUCAAACUUUGAUCAACAAGUAAUUGGACCACUGAUAUGUACCAGUACAUUAUUAUGUUAUGUGAAUUUUAUACUGUUAGAAAUGUUUUUUAAAUACGAGUCUAAUGAUAUAAAUUUUAUAGCACACAUAAAACUCAUAUCAUUAAUCUAACUAUUGGUCAAAGUAAAAUCUCAAAAUAUGUGCGCGUUAUAAAAAUUAGAGAGUUACUAUUGUAGCUGGCCGUCGUAUCAACGAAUACAUGGAUCAUGCAUGUGUAAGAUUGAUUGGGAUCCCCGGUCCACGCUUCCCGCGAGGCGCAUCCCACCCUAAGGGCGUGUACAAUGGGGUGAUGUCAACCUUUUCUUAGAGAUGUCAUAUAGAAUAAAAUCUGAUGUGCAAGAGAGAGAAACGAAAAAUAUUCACAAGCCUUUUCUUAAUUAAGGGCAUGUACAAUGGUUGAUAAGAUUGACUUAUCUUAGGUGUGACACGUCAAUUAGAAAAGACAACAAAACAUGUUGUACAAUGGGUUAUCUCUUAUUAUUAUAUCUUAAAAUUAAUUCUUAGACGGAUAAAAUUAACUAAAUAAAUGCUAAGAAAAGUCAAAAUCUAGUACAAUGGGAAAUUUGCCUUAUCUUUGCCUUAUCAUUCUUGUGAAGAGAUCAUCUCUUAAUUAAGAGAAGGCUUGUGUCUUUUCUUCACUUCUCUCUCUUACACGUCAGAUUUUAUCCUAUGUGGCAUCGCUAAGAAAAGUCUGACGUCACCCCAUUGUACACGUCCUAAGAGAUGAUCUCUUCACAAGAAUGAUAAAGACAAAAAUAAGACAAAUUUAUCAUUGUACUAGAUUUCACCUUUUCUUAGCAUUUAUUUAGAAUUUUAUUUAUCUAAACAUUAAAACGAAGACAGAAACACUAAGAGAUAACCCAUUGUACAACAUGUUUGUUGUCUUUUCUAAUUGACUUGGAAUGACUAAGAUAACACAGCCUUACCAACCAUUGUACAUCCCCUAAUCCAUCCCACCACGCCGCAGAGAUUCUCUGCAGAUCAACUGAUUAAUCUCCUCCCGCAAAAAAAAAAUUGAUUAAUCAAUAAUCCCACGCUUCCCCACGAGCCGGAUCAAUCGGUUCAAUUAAAACCAUCAGGAUCAUGAUCCCGGAUUCCAAGCUACCGCCAGCACCCGGGGGAUUCGGAUUUUGGACAUGACGAGACGUGCUACCAGACCACUGAUCUUGCUUCUUCUUUUUGGCAACAGCUUGCACAUCCUGAUACCUGGGUGCUUAGCUAGUAGCUACUACCCCUUGAUUCGGAUUACAGUACUUCUUUUGCUUCCUCCAUUCUUUUUGUAAACUCAAGUGGAGUGGUGCCAGGCAAUUACACCCCUAAUCCAACUAUUAGUCCAACUUAUUAUAAAUUGUGGUGGGCUAGUCUUAAUAGUUGAGAGGUGUGAGCAAAAAUGUUCAAUCUGUUCGAAUUGAGACGUGGCACCAUCUCGGAUGUCCGUCAGGCCCGUGGUAAAUUUAGCAAAAGACCCCCACCCCCUCCUCCGACUAUGGAACAAUUAGCGUCAAAAGUGAAAGAUCGGUAUGGUCGACUAAGUGGGGUGGGGUGAAUAGGAGACUAACAAAUUUUUCUUUUUCUUUUUCUUUUCUUUAAAGAUACAAACACUUAAUCCUAGGGUUUACUAGAUUCUCUAAAGUGAAUGCAACUCUAGAAUGAAAUGCAAUAGCUGAAGCAACAAUAGAUAGCAAGAAUGUAAAGGGGAAAAUAUACCACAUGUGGAGACGAAGAUUUCACCGGAGUUCCACCUAUUGGGAUCGGUGUACGUCUCCGUUUGGACGAGUGCUCUACCACAAAGGUAGAGACGCCACGAAAGCUCACUCUAUUCUCCAACUCACCACACCAAAAAGGUGGGAUGAGCUCUCACAACACCACAAAGGUGAGGUGAGUUCCACUAAUGGCUUCCUUGAGGGCGAACGCCGAACCCUUACAAAGUUGACCGGGGCAAACUCCACAACUCAAUCGGAGGCUCUCAAUUCAAGCCCCGAGCUCCUCAAUCACCAAGAAAUAGCUCGAGGUGACCGCUUCCAUCUAGGAUUCCCAACAACCCAAGAGAUACGAAAUCCACAAAGAAAACAAGGGGAAUCAACUUUUUGACUUGGUGAAACCCUAAAUCAAAAUCUUCUCCUCCAAUCCUCAAAGAAUCAAGAGUUAUGAGUGGCUAGGGAGGGAGAUUUUUGAGAUUUAAGCUUGAGGUGUUCUUGGGGUGAGAGUUGUGUUCUUGGCUGCUUGCUUGCUCAGUUGGCUCGUUGGGGACGAAGGGAUAUAUAAGUGGGUUCUCAAAAAUCGAGCUGUUAGGCACUGGUCAGGAUAGGCCGGAUCUUCCGCUGGAUAGUCGGAACUUCCGGCUGACCGGAAGUUCCGAAUAUUCACCGGAAGUUCCGCAUAUUCCCUCGGGAAUAACAGAGAGCACCCGGAACUUCCGCCGCCUGUGAACCAGAAAUGCCAGAACAACACACUGAAAAAUGUUUUCUUCUCACACCUUAUUGGGUAGGCUUUUUAGUGGGUGCAAUUUGGUGUAGAUGUGUACGUGAAAUUGAUUCACUUGUUACCUUCGCUUGUGGAUCCCCUCUUAAUAGUACGGAUGUCCUACGACUCAAAUCAACCGAAAAAGCCGCUAACACCACUACGCUUCUUUCCUUUUUGAGGGUCCACAAUUCAUCUUGUGCUGAGUUCUUUAUAAACCCCGAAAUGCUUAGCACAAGAUUAGAUAACAAACCAUGUUGUCAUCACCACCAAAACCAUUUAGGAGAGAAAUGCCCUUUCAAAAAGCCUUUGAUUUCUUUGUCUUCCCGAAACGGUUCAUCUCCCCCGACUCCACCGACCAUGUCCUGACGCUUAGAGCAGUCCAUAGGCAAUCGGUGAACCUCGUCGGAGGCAAUCCGCCACGAUGCCGCCAGACUCGCAUCUCUAGAUGGGACGAGGGAUAAACACCAAAAUCGAAGCCAACACGCUUACCGUAUUGCGGUGAUCCCUCAUCCCAUCUACGGAGGUGCGGGUCCGGCGACAUCGUCGCAAAUCACCUCCGACGAGGUUCACCGACCGUCCGCGGAGUGCUCUGGGCGCCAAUACACAGUCGAGGGAAGACGAAGGAAUCGUUUUUUUUGCGCUAAUUAUUCUAGAGUCGGGAUCUUCUUGCUAAAUUGCCACGGGCCCGACGAACGUCCCAGAUUGUGCCACGUCUCAAUUCGGACUAGAUUGGAACUUUUUGCUCAUACCUCUCAACUAUAAGGACUAGUCUACCACUCUACCCCAUUUUACAAGAAGUUGGACUAAUUUGCUCUCACCUCUCAAGUAGUUGGACAACGAGUGUAUUUACCUCUUUAUUAUUUAUGAAUAUGGGAGUGUCUAUUUCUCAGUCGAUUUAGAAAUAUCUCCGUCCCAUGUGAAGUGACUCAAAUUUAUCCAAAUAUGGAUGUAUCUAUACCCAAAAAGCGUCUUGCAUGGCCGGCGAGCGGUGAUCAGAAUCCUGGAUCACGCGUUGGAUGGAGGGGAGGACGAGGGGAGGGUGAGGGUGGGCGAGAAUCAUCUGGUGGAGUAGGCCAUUGGCCUGCGGAAAGUGGGAGGCGGUGCAGAGGGAUGCCGCGAGGCGGGUGAAGGCAUCGGCGGAGGGCGGCGCGAUGCGCGGCCGGGACCAGUAGAAGAAGUCGAGUAGGAGCUCGGACUGGAGGCUGUGGCUGCGGCGGCAGAUGAGGGGCGAUACGACGUUGGGGGAGAGGCGGGAAGGUAUGUCGGAGGCGGCAAUAGCGAGCUUCCAGUCGUCGGUGCAGCGGGAGAGGAGGGUGGCCACCUCUGCGGCCACGGCGUCGGGGUCCUCCAGGGUCGAGGAUGAAGAAGAAGCAUUAUUAGCGUUGUGGUGUUGUCGGAACACGGGUAUCCGGCACCGGGGAUGCCGAGCACCCCCUUUUUGGUUCGGUGGAGGGCGAGACGAUCGCUCCGGCGAUCGCCGGCGUGACGAUAAACACGAAGUGUUGACACGCGAAUUUACCCAGGUUCGGGCCACCCGAAGGUGUAACGCCCUAUGUCCUGCUUUUUGUUAUAUUGAAGAUUACGUAUGUGGCUUACAAAGUGUCCCGGAGUUCCCUGGGAGCUAAUUGGCGAUGACUCUAACUAGGGCUCAAACUAAGACUGAUCGGAACCCCUUGACCCGUGGCAUCGGUCCUCUUUUUAUAGACAAGGUUAUUCCACAGGUGCCAACGCAUGCAGCUUGACACGUCUCCUAGACGCGUGUCACAUCCACAUGAAACACAUUCCCGCUGAUCCAUGCUGGACGCCAUGCCGCGCCCAGUCCAGUGUACAAGGUAGAAAAAAUGGUUCGUAUAGUAGACGCCCUAGCCUUGCUAAGCAAGCUACGCCUGCUGAUAAGACUCUUUUCGGUGCAUUAAAUGCACUGCGCCCGCCGUCUUGUCCUGUUUUCACUGUUCUGAGGGCCCCGCCUGCAUGCCCGAGCGUGGGUUGCUGGCUACCCCUGCCCGGCUAGCGCGCCCGGCCAGCUGCCCGGGAGGCGUUUCUUCCACUUCCCGGGAUCGGGGUUCUCAGGAGCUUCUUCUAUUCCGGCCCUUAGCUUUGCCUUCACCAAGGACCGUCUCCUUGAGGCAGGCUUUCCGGACUCAUCGCUUCCCGGGAGGCCUUCCUGACGGGGCUUCGUCACUGGCAAUCCACGCGUCCCGUAUCAGUGGGACCCCGUGGGCCACUGGUACGACAGUAGCCCCCGGGCGUGGGCCGGCAGCCUUGAAGCUCCCGACAAAUGCUAUCCUCGGUCGGCUGCCGAGCUACACCCUAUCCGACGAGUGGGUCCCAAGGGGAGUCCCCCUGGCACCCGGCCUUGUGGGCCGCAUUUACAAUUCCCCUCCUCCGAGCGAAACGGUCGGGCGCACGUUUUCGUGCCUUAUCCCCCUUAAUCACCAGAGAGUUAAGGCCACGUCGCACACCCCCCUCUUAAUCCCCGAUUCUUUAGGGCACUUUGCUGCUGAUCGUGGGGGUGUCCGUUGCAGCCCGCCAGCCCCGAUAAAUACCCGAGGCUGGCGGCGGGCACUCGCCAUUGCCUCUUGCUCCUACCAUUGCCUCCUCCCAAGCUCUCCGCGCCCCAACUCCAACCAAAUCGCCUCCCCACCUCCGCCGAUGUCUUCCAAGGGCCAGAACCAUCCCAAGUGGAGCACCAGCAAAGGGGAAAAGCGCGAGAAGGUGAGCAAGAAGGAGCUGUCGGACCGAGCCCGAAAGGAUGAGGAAAUGCGGUCUAAGUUCGCCUUCUUCCUCCCGGGUACAACGGCGAGGGGGUAGACAAGCUGGUCUUGGCGCUCGCCACCAAGCACAACGAGUACGGGCCGACGUGGAUUCUCCUCGUCGGCGCGGAGCGCGACCUACGGUACAUCCGGAUCUUCGGGAGAUUCAUCCUAGCUGGGUUCGUGCCGCCGCACUCUUUUUUCCUUUUCGCCAUCAUGGAGGCCUACGGGCUCAUCAUGGCAAAACUUCACCCCACAUCGUUCUUCACAUUGGCUGUCUUCCAACACCUUUGUGAAGCGUUCGUGGGGGUGAUGCCAUCGGUGGUUCUAUUUCGACACUACUACUACCCGAGGGUGGAGGCGAAGGCUCCCCUGUCCUUGGGAGUGGUGUUCCGGUUCCGCGACAGGAUCAAGUCGGAGUUCAUCCAGCUUGGGAAGAAGAAGAUCGAGCACGAGUGGUGCCGCGACUGGUGCUGGGUGCGCACCGAUGAGCUCCAGGAGUUUCACGAGGAGCCCCUCGGGCCCCCGAAGGGCUCUGAUGACUGGACGCUCCGUGACCAGAAGGACGAGGAGCUGGCCCCAAUCUGUGCCAAGAUCAAGGCGCUCCGCGAGGCCGGACUCAUGGACACGGAUGUGGCGCGCCACUUUAUCGGGUACUGCGUGGCUCCCCUGCAGCAGCGCUCACAUCCAGCAUGGAUGUACACCGGGCCCGGUGACCGGACUCGGCUGCAACACACUGACCUCCUGCCGGAAGAAGUGCAAUUCUGGGUGAAGGGCAUCACCUGCGAGGACGAAGCUUACCGGCUGCCGCCGCUUGGAGCGCACCCACUCCACGCCGAGAUCUCGAACCCGGGAGCCCGGGAUCUCCCACUCUGCGACGAGUGGGGGAUCGUGGAGGACCCCUCGGCGCAACCCUCGCCCCCCGCAGGGGCAAGGAGCCGGCUGCCGACUCGGGGAAGGGGGGCCAAGGCCAAGCCUCCGCUAGGCCAGAGGACUCAGACUCCGACUACUCCUCGCUGGGCGUCGGAGGAGACCUCAGCGACGAUGACGACGACGACACUCCCCGGCAGCCAGCGGGGUCGUGCUGGUGGAGGAAGACGACGUCCCCCUGGUGAGCCGGUCUUCGGUGGAGCGGGCGAGCAGGCAGGAGGCCAGCCCGCAGCCUCAGGAGCCUCACGACGACGUGGGGGCUGAGGCCUCCGGCGGCAGCGAUGCGGCUACAACAGCCGCUCCGACUACCCCGGCGGCCCCGCCAGUCCCACCCGCGCGGAGCGGCUCCCUGGCGAGGAGCAUCCUGGCGGACAGGGUGCUCAAGCUCAAACCGGCGGGGUGAGCUAAACGUUGUCCAGAACACUUUAGAUUUCGUGAAUUUUUUUACAUGCCUGACUAACUUGCUUUUGCGUUUUUUCCAGUUCUUCGAGGAAGAGGGGGCAGACCAGCACGUCACCGGCAGCCCCGACCAAGAAGCCCCACCCGGCAUCGGGCGGUGGCGACCGAGAUGCCGCUGACGCGGCUGUUGUGACGGCGGCAGCUGCCGCUGGGGACUCGAGGGUCCUCGAUUCGAGCUCGCAGGGCACCGGCCUAGCGGCAAGUACGUGCAAGUUCCAACAUUUCUUUUACCCAUCUGCGCCAUCUCCCAUACUUGACGCAGGUGCUCUUCGUGCAGUUGCCGAGGAUGCUUCGGCUGCGCCCGUGCUCACCGAGGUGCGGGCAAUCGACCUCACCAGCGAGGUCGACGACGAUGCUCCGGCGGAGGUUGCCUCCGUCGGAGCCCUUCAGGAAUUGGCCACGGCACUUGCCGCAGGCGACGCCACGCAGGGGGCGCCAUCUGUGACAGGUGACACGGAGCAGCCUCCGCCAGCCGGAGCAGGCGGCGGUGCUCUGGAGAAGCCCCCGAGACCCCAGCCCGCCCCUUUGGAUGGGCAAGGAGCAGCAGGGCUUGGCCAGGCCGGGGGUGCAUCGUCAAAUCCUGACGCGCCCUCGGGAUCACAGACGGUUGCGGCGGGGUACUCCUCCUCCGCCGGAGCUGCCUUCAGCCCGGGAGCAGGGGAGCUCGCCGGGCGGUCAUGGGGUCGGAUUACUUUCGACCCCAGCGUGUUCGACAACAUCCAGCAGUAGCAGCGGAUGUUCGUUGAUUUCUUCAACGACACGCAGCAGCACCACACCCGCGUGGUAGCGGAACUGGGCACAGCGCGACGGGAGGCGGAGGAGCAGCACACCGAGCUACAGCGGCUCCGGUGGGAGCACCAGCAGGCGCGGCAAGCCGGGGCGACGCCUGCUGUGCAAGGGGUGCCGGAGGCUGAAGUCCUCUAGCAGUUGUGGGAUCUCCAGCAAGAGCACCAGCGGGAGCUUGAGCUGGUGAAGGCCACGCACGCCAAGAGCGAGGAGGAGCACCAGGCGGCUCUUGACUCGUUCCAGGGGCGUCUACGGAAGAAGACGGACUUACUGUCCAACUACUCUCUAGAGAUCCAGCGCCUUUGCCGCGAGGUCGGAGAGCUGGAGACGGCGGCUGCAAUAGCAGCCGAAGCCUUGGCGCGCCGGGAGAAGGAGCUGCAGGACCAGACUCACAGGUCUUGUCCUAAUUGCUCGGCGUUGGCUAGUGCUGUCGGCCAGUAAAAGCCAUGCCGGAAUGCUUUCCCAGCAACGAUGGUGCGAGCAUGUGCCUCGAUGUAUAUCCUCCAGCAACGUGCGUCCUUCUUCCUAGGGCACGCAGAGGAGCAUGACUCCGUUAAGAUGCCUCCGGUAGAGUUCCCCAUCCACCAUUUUGGCUUGCUGGGCUACUCACUCCACGGCAACGUCUUUCUCCGGGAGGGUCCCGUCCCUGAGGUAACGAAUAAUAUCCGUCCCCCAGGGCGGUCGUUCCCGGCUAGUGCAUGCCACAAGCUUGGUGGCAUGGUCCCCCGCAGCUGCGGGGUCUCCUUGAGUCGCCGGAGGGGCUUCCCCAGCAACCGCCUUGGGGUCGACAGAGGGCUUUGACUGCCUCUGCACGAACACCCCAGGAGGCACCUUGCUGUGUUCCGCUGCCCAUUUGGACCGUUCAUCCACAACAAAGUUGUCUUUGUGCUUCACGUGCUCAAACCGAAGUCCCCUGAACCUGGACUCCAAUUUUUGCACUUCCUCUACGUAAGCUGCCAUCUGGGGGUAGUCGUAGUCCUUAUUUACCUAGUUGAUCACGAGUUGGGAGUCCCUAUGAACAACCAAGCGCUUGAUGUUGAGGGCGAUCGCCGCGCGCAGCCUGGCAAGCAGCCCCUCGUACUCUACUGUGUUGUUGGUGGAGUUGGCGAAGUUGAGCUGUAUUACGAACUUGAGCUGAUCUCCAGUGGGCGACUCGAUCACCAUUCCGGCACCAGUGCCCUGCAAGCAGAAGGCGUCGUCGAAGUACAUGACCCAGUACCCUUCAUCCAAUAUUCCGGGAAGGCUCGCUUCCGGCUCUUCUUCCUCUAUGCCCGUCGAUGUCCACUCCACGACAAAGUCAGCGAGAGCGGUGCUCUUGAUGCUCUUGGUGUUUGCGAAACGCAGCCCGAACUCUGCCAGCUCCAUCCUCCACUCGACCACCCUCCCGAUGGCUUCACGGUUGGUGAGGGCCUGCUCUAGGCAGAACCUCGACACCACUGUGAUGCUGUGCGCCUGAAAGUAAUGGCGCAAUUUCCUUGAAGCGAGCAGGAUCCCAAGCAGAAGCUUCUGGACCUGCGGGUACCGUACCCGGGCAUCGCGCAGCACCGUGCUAACACAGUACACGGGAUGUUGCACUAGCCGCUUGCGGGGGGCAGCCUGCAUGGGAUGUCCCUCGGGUUCAGGGGCAGAGGUGGUAGCAGGAGGUUCCUUCAGCUCGUCGGGAGCCCCCAACCCUUCCGUCUCAGCCCCCGGGACUUGCUCUUCCCUCUCGGCAACGAGCACGGAGCUCACUACCUGGUCCGUCGCUGCCAGGUAUAGCAGCAACGGCUCGCCCCGCUUGGGGGCGACGAGGACCGGCGGCGACUUCAGGUACUGCUUCAAGUCCUGGAAAGCUGCUUCCGCCUCGGGAGUCUAAUUGAUUGGACCCUUCUUCUUCAUUACCUUGAAGAAAGGCAGGGCUCACUUGCCCAGCCUUGAGAUGAAAUGCCCAAGCGUCGCAACACACCCGUUGAGGUGUUGGACAUCUCUAACCUAGCGGGGUGCCUCCAUCUUCUCGAUCGCCUCGAUCUUCUGUGGGUUGGCUUCGAUUCCCCUGUGAGAGACCAGGAAGCCCAGCAAGUGCCCCGAGUCCACACCAAACAUGCACUUCUCGGGGUUAAGCUUGAGCUUGAUCCUGCGGAGGUUGUUGAACGUCUCUUGCAGGUCGCCGACAAGCGAGUCCCUACGCUGCGACUUGACGACGAUAUCGUCCAUGUAGGCCUCGAUAUUCCGGCCUAGGUGGGGGCCCAGACACUCGCGCAGGGAGCGCUGAAAUGUCGAGCCCGCGUUCUUCAGCCCGAAAGGCAUGCACGUGUAACAGUAGCAGCUAACCAGGGUGAUAAACGUUGUUUUCUACUCCUCUUCGACGGCCAUCUUAAUCUGAGAAUCUACUAUUUGAUCAAUUCGGGGUACAGAGAAGGGGUCCUUAGGACAUGCACGAUUAAGAUCAGUAAAAUCUACGCACAUGCGCAAUUUAUUUCCAGCCUUAGGGACUACAACAGGGUUUGCUAACCAAGUGGGGUACAACACUUCCCUGAUCGCCCCGGCGUUCUUGAGCUUCUCCACUUCCUGCUGCAUGAAGUCUUUGCGUUCCUGUGCUUGCCGGCGAACCUUCUGCUUGAUGGGCCACGCGUCUAGCCGCACCGCCAGCGGAUGCUCGAUCACCUCCCCUGGGACUCCGGGAAGAUCUGACGACUCCCAAGCAAACACGUCAGAGUUCUCCUGGAGGAAGGCAACGAGGGCGCUUUCUUAUUUGUCGCCGAGGCUCGCACCGAUGGAGACGGUGCGUGCCUCGUUGCCGGCAUGCAGGGGCACCUUCUUGACCUUGGUGCCCUCCUCCUUCAGCUUCGCGCCCUUCUGACGCGCAGGCUGGAGCUGGAUCUGCCCCCGGCGUCCAGUCCGGGAGCGGCUUGUGCCUUCUUAUGUGCGGGUUGUUCACCCGCAAGUGGAUUCUCGUUCCCGGCAACGUCAUAGUCGUCGGGAUCCACCACUGCAGAUGUCUUCACGACCUCGCCCACGCACCAAGCAGCGUCCUUCAGGUCGCACUUGAUGGAGAGUACGCCGUAUGUUGACGGCAUCUUCAUCACACCAUAGGCGCAAUGGGUUGCCUCCAUGAACUUGAUCAGCGCUGGCUGACCAAUGAUCCUGUUGUACGGCAACGGGGUGUGAGCUACAUCAAAAACGAUGUGCUCAAUCCGGAACGCUUCCCGGGAACCGAAGGUCACCGGGAGCGUGAUUCGCCCCAUGGCCUGCACCACUCCGGGGUUGAUCCCCCGGAACGGGUCGGUGGGCUUCAUCUGCUCCAUGGGCAGCUGAAGCUUCUCCACCAGCUUGGCGGACAGCAGGUUGAGGCUUGCCCCGCUGUCCACCAGUACCUUGGUCACCGUCACAUUGUUUAUGAUCGGCGACACCAUGAGGGGGAGUACCCCUGACCCCAAGGGAUGGGCCGGGUGAUCGUCCGAGUCGAAGGUGAUCCGCACAUGCGACCACCUCAACGGCUGUUGCGCCUCCACGCUAGGGAGGAGGGCGCAGACCUCACACAUAAGCCGCUUCACGGCAGUGUGAGGCGUGAGAGCGUACGCUCCCCCGUGGAUGUAGGCGACGUCGCGAGGCUCCUGGAAGCCAGGCUCGGCGGCGGCGUCGAUGCAGUCAUCCUCGUGCUGUUCGGCGCGAGGCUUGUCGCGUCCCUGGGGAGGCUGGUCCUUGCCGCCGCGGGCUUGACCGCGACCCCCUGCGGGUUCUCCUUUGUCGCUGCCGGCUGCGCCCAGCCUGCUCCGCUGCGGGGGUUGUUCGGGCAGUCCUGGGAGAGGUGCCCGAUGUCCCCGCAGUUGAAGCAAGCCCCGGCAGCGCAGCGCUCCUCGUGGCGCUGCUCGCGCUUCUCCUUGAUGGUCUGGAGAGUACGGCAGUCAUGUGCGUCGUGGGUGGCGUUGGUGUGGAUGGGGCAGCGUGCGGCCACCGCCGGCUUGCUACCUGAGGCUCCCGCUGCCGCCGCCUUCUUGGUGGGCCUCUGGGGAGCCCCCGGCUCCGAGGCAAGCACUUGCUUCCCGCCGCGUUUCCGGGAGCCCUUCCUCCCGGAGCCCUCGGGUGGGUUUGCCGCUGCUUUGGCAGGAAGCUCGGGCACCAAGCGCCCUUCCUCGGCCAUCGCGCACUUGUGCACGAGAGAAUAGAGAUCCCUUGUAGUCCGGAUCCGGUGCAUGUUCAGCUUCUCACGCAUCUUCGGGUCGCGGAUGUUGAUGGCGUACGUGUUGAUGAUGGCAGCCGCUUCCGCCUCAGGGAUGGAGUAGGAGAGGUUGGAGAACCUGUUGGUGAAGUCCGGCAACGUCUCCCCCAGUUUCAGCACUACUAUGUGCAGUUCUGCCAUGGUUCCCGGGCGCUUGUAGCCGCCCUGGAACGCGUUCACAAACUGCUCGUGCAGGUCAGCCCAAGAGGCUAUGGACCCGACGGGCAGGUUGAGCAACCAAGUCCUCGCUGCUCCUUUGAGGACCAUCAACCAGUUGGCCCUAACUUUGUCGUCGGCACCGAUAGCGUGCAUGCCCAACGUGUAGGUCACGAGAAAGUCCUUGGAGUUCACAGUCCCGUCGUACGUCCCGAGUGUCGGCACUCGGAACUUGCGGGGCCAUGUCACCCGGCACAGCUCGCGAGUGAACGCGGCGUAGCCAUCAUCAGCACCCAUGGGAGCAUCUUCCUGUUCCUCUGGACGCGGGCGCCCUGCCUCGCGCCGGCGCCGGCGCUGCAAGCGCUAGCGGAGGUCUUCCUGCUGGCGGGCGUUCAGGACGCCUCACGCGUCACCUUGCGUGACGGUCGGUGACGAGUCCGAGUAUCCCUCGGGAUCCUCGCCUCCUUGCCCUCCCGAUGGAGGAGGGUGCUCUCCAUGCCCCGAGACGCAGGGCGCGUCUCCGCUUCCCGGGUUCUGUCCCCGGCCCGAACUGGCCGGGCCGCCCUCGCCUUGUGGCUGUUGGGCAUCGAGCGCGAGGAGCGCUUCCCGCUCCGCCCUCCACACGUCAUGCGCCGGCAUGCUUUGUGGUGGCUCGUAGUGCACCAUGACACGCACGGCAAUGAUAGCUUCCGCCGGGGUUUGGGCGGGAGGUUGCCGGUUCUCCGACCGACUGCCCUCCGCCCAGUCACCCGUGCCCUCGGAUGUGUGGGGCGAGACUCUGUUGGCGUCGCACGUGACGCGUUGUGGUCGUGGUGCAGCUGUCGCUGCGCGUCCUCAUCCCACGAGUGGACGUUGUGGUUGCUGCGCGACGUUGUGGUUGCUCGCGCGGCUGGCUCUGGCGCUAGGCGCUGCAGGCCCCCUCAGCCGGUUGUCUGCCGACGGCCGAGGAGGUGGAGGUGGCAGCUGCGACUGCUGCUGCUGUCGUGGAGGGGACCCCUGGUACCCUUGUACUUGCGACGCGCGUGCGGCGUCGUGGGAUCGAGUGCGCAUGGCGAGGGUGUCGCACAGGUCGACCCGGGGCUCGUCUGCCUUCUUGGGUGGCAUGGCGAGCUAGUCGUUGAGGAUGUCGUAGAUGAAGAAGAUGGUGUUGAAGACGAUGACUCCGGCGGUCACCCGAAGCUCUCUGCACGCCCCCCUACCUGGCGCGCUAGAAGUCGGAGCACGGAUCUCCGGCAUCGGGGAUGCCGAGCACCCCCUUUUUUGUUCGGUGGAGGGCGAGACGAUCGCUCCAGCGAUCGCCGGCGUGACGAUAGACACGAAGUGUUGACACGCGAAUUUACCCAGGUUCGGGCCACCCGGAGGCGUAAUACCCUACGUCCUGCUUUUUGUUAUAUUCGAGAUUACAUAUGUGGCUUAGGAAGUGUCCCGGGAGUUCCCGGAGAGCUACUUGGCGAUGACUCUAACUUGGGCUCAAACUAAGACUGAUCGGAACCCCUUGACCGGUGGCAUCGGUCCUCUUUUUAUAGACAAAGAGAUACCACAGGUGCCAAUGCAUGCAGUGUGACAUGUCUCCUAGAUGCGUGUCACACCCACAUGAAAGACAUUCCCGCUGAUCCAUGCUGGACGACAUGCAGCGCCCGGUCCACUGUACAAGGUAGAAAAAAUGGUUCGUAGAGUAGACGCCCUAGCCUUGCUAACCAAGCUAGGCCUGCUGAUAAGACUCUUGUCGGUGCAUUAAAUGCACUGCGCCCGCCGUCCUGUCCUGUCUUCACUGUUCUACGGGCCCGCCUGCAUGCCCGAGCGUGGGUUGCUUGGGUGCCCUUGUCCGGCUAGCGCGCCCGGCCAGCUGCCGGGGAGGCGUUUCUUCCACUUCUCGGGACCGGGGUUCCCGGGAGCUUCUUCUAUUCUGGCCCGUAGCUUUGCCUUCACCAAGGACCGUCUACUUGAGGCAGUCUUCCCGGACUCAUCGCUUCUCGGUAGGCCUUCCUGACGGGGCUUCGACACUGGCGAUCCACGCGUCCCGUAUCAGUGGAACCCCAUGGGCCACUGGUACGACAGGUGUAGGGGGCGGGAGGCGGCGGGAUUGGGAGGAGGAGGCACUGCGGCGGAAGCGGCCCGGCGAGAGCAUGGGAUUAGUGGGGAACACAGGAGGAGGGGGAGCACCCAGGUGAGGGCCUUCUUGCUCAAAAGCCUUCAGCGGAAAAGAAAGUGAAGAAAAUGUAACAUGCCCAUAAGCGGCUAAUGGGGCCAGCCUUUUGCUGAAGGAUUUUUCAGUUAGGCGCACCAAUGGAAAUGUAGCGUAUGUUUGGAUUGGUAUUAAAAUAGAUCAUGCCAAUUAUUUUGUCGUGACCAAAGUUUGUAUUGUAACAACGACAAGAAUUUAGGAGGGGGGAGUAUUUGACAUACCAUUCUCUCUUAGCCAACUCUAAUUCAAAUUUUGUUAAAAGUUGGGCAACUCAUGCACAAGCAAAACCAUGAUCAAUUAUUUGGUUAGCCAAAUUGAUAGAACAAGCAUAUGCUCAAACACAGUACUCUCUAUUCCAUAGCACAUUGCACAAGUCUGCGAGUUGAAUGAUUUAAUUUGCUGGUGUCAUCCAAUAGUUUUUAUUUCUAUUUUCUUUUUAAAAGUUUUUUUUACUUUUUUUUGUCAUCCGUGGUGUCAUCCAAUAGUGGAAUGAUUUACUCCUGUUUACUAUCACAAGUUAGCUAGUUGGGAAAGAAGCGGAAGAGCAAAGAAGAGGAACAUAGGAGAGAGACGAUAAAGAAGAAGGAAGAUGUGAAGCGCUAAGAACAUCUCCACUCGGACCCCCCCAUAUGGCAUCCAGUCUGCGAUAUUUUUGGGCCA